UUUUUUUUUUGUUUUCGAAAGAAACUUUUAUUUUACCACGUUAAUUAAUAACAGAGAGCCACUGCUGAGAAGGGAAAAAAAGAGAGGCACCUAUAAAAUGAUAAGAAAUAAAGAGAGAGAGAAUAGAUAAAGAGUCUGUUCGGCUGGACUUAUAAGCUAGCUGAUUUGUUGUGAGAGAAAAACACUGUUCGGUGACUGAUAAAUCGGCUGAUAAGCUAACGAACAGGUUGAAAAUGACCAUCUUAGCAGAGCCGCAAAAAUAUCAUGGGGGUGGGGUGCACUGCAUGUGGGGCCCACUGCCGUGGACACCAGAAAUUGCUUGGCGAGGGUACGUACGCCAAAGUGUCCUUUAUUCUAGAUCGUUCUCCCUCCUCCAGAGAUACUGGAAACACAGUGCCAUCUUUUAUCUUCUGAUGGUUUAAUUUUAAUUUUAUUGGCAUAAACGUCUGCACACGCACACACUUUGUUUAACCAGCAGCAGUUUAGGCUAUGACAGGGUUCCUUUCUCUAAUCCUUUUGCUUUGAAGACUGCCCGGGCAUAAUGCAGGGGGUCAAACAAAGUGGCCUGUUUGUUUUGUUUCUCCCUUCUGCGCAGACAAGCAAAGCCCAGGCGACGACGGGCGAACCGUGUCCCGGGCGACUUUGCGCUGCCGUGUCGUGCCGUUUAUGCAAGCGUGUUCAUUCUCAAUUUUCCGCCCAUGUAAAAAAAGUGGAUUUUUUUCUCGGGGGUUAUUUUUUACUAAAAUCAAGAGGAAAAAAAAUGCCGCCAUGCAUCUGUUUGGGUCUCCAGCGUCGAGGAAAGGAAAGGGGAAGCGUUUCCUUUCUUUCUGCCGAUGGGCGCCGGCUUUUGACCUGAACACACCAGAAGUAAUUACUGGAAGGCUGUUUCACCUGAAGGUUUUGCCGAAGGCGUUGGCGUCCGGCACGAUGAAGCCGCCGUCCAGCACCAGCUCCGCCGGGUUGGCGCCGGCGGCGACCUUCCUCUCCGCCACCGCAUCUGCAGCCACAAAAAGGAGCACAGCCCAAUGACAACACCGAAUCGGAUUGAGCAGAGCAGAGGGACAUCGCAAAAGGAAGAACUGAAAACCGCGAGAUUACCGAGCUGGGGCUGUUCAAUGGUGAUCGUCAUCUUCUUCCCCGAUCAGCCUCACAAAUAAAAUAAAAAAAACCCUUGAAACAGCAGGAGGUUCAACGACGACACGAACAGAGCCCAAGAACACGGCGACGGCAAUGGCGAUGGCCUGGCUCUGGAGGCAGAAAUGCGCACGGUAUUUAUAGCAGGAGGUCCGGGGCGCGGGGCCUCGGUGUCAGCCGGCGACAGAGGCGUAGCCUAGGUCUACGGCAACACAGCUGUGGGUGACGCAGCAGGAAGAGAGAGAGGAAAAGUAGAACGCCAGUGAGAGAUCCAUCGGGCGAUCGGCGGGAGCGAGAUACUAGUGGUGGCGUUAUCCGCGCCGCGGGGAUGGGAUUUGCUGAGGGCGGGCGCGGGUGACUCAGCCAUGGCGUGGAGGUGCGUCUGUGGAUGACAACGACACCUCGCGCUCUUGGUGGUAGGUAGGUACUGCCCCCUCCUUUCUCCAUUGCAAACUUGCUUGCUUAUUUUAGCCUUUUUUUCUUGGAUUUUUUCUCUCUCUGCUUCUGCCUCCUCCUUCUGUGUUUGACUCCUUGGAUAGCUAGAGAUGAUGAAUCCGUGUCAGCUUGGAAGAAAAAGGAAACUGAAGCAACCUGUGCAUUGUUUGUUCUGCGAGGAUGGAGUCAGCUUAUCUUCAGAGAAGAAAUGUGUCGGUGCUUUACAUGUGGAGAGUAAUAAGGAGAGUGUUUUACAUGUGCUUUAAAUGUGUCGGUGCUUUAUUGUUUCACAAAGCAGUCUGUCUUUUACCGUCCAUCUAUACUUGUAGACGAUUCGGAGGGAUCCACAUAUUCAGCGGUAUAUUACUCCUGCUAUUUGCAUGUAUAAUAAGCGAUGCUGUGGACAUCACUAAUUUUUGCUACGGUGUCUUAUGGUAGACUAUACUGGUGUUAAAAAAGACUAUUAUAAAAACAUCCGAAAAGUAAUUUAUAAUUGAAUUUUGAAGAUUUUGAUUUCAGAGAUAACCUAAAGUAUCGUCAAACGGUGGACUAGGUAGCAACCUUUUACUUGUCUCUGUAGGAUAUUGUAAUCAUCUUACGAGUCGAUCGCUCUCUUGAAUCUCUCAAUUCUCGAUCUAGAGGUUGUCUCCUAGCGAAGAGACUAACUUUUGUUCACCGGCAUGAUUAUUCUACGAGACGGCUGAGGUGACACCAUUAUCGUAUAUGCUCUUGAUCGUCAGAUAUUUCACGGAGGUCAAGGGAGGGUUUCUUUAAUUUUUUACUCCAAAUGUUUAGUGAUGCGGAUUGACCCUAAGCUCUUGUUCACCUCAGCACUUUGAAUCUUUGGCAAAAGGUCAUGGCGGUGUCACUUGCCUGUCUCCUGUACAUGGGACCGACGCUUCACACGCGUAGGACUAGGAGGCGACUCACUUGUCGGUCGUCCCGUGGCUAAAGCUGAAUAGAAUUCGGACACGAGGUGGUGCAUGCAACAACUCAAGGCCGGGCGUUUGGCCAUGUGCCGAUCGAACAGCUCUUGGCGCGUGACUGCGUGAGGUGAUCGAUCACGCAACUCUAAGUAGGACUCGAGGUGCUCGGAUGGCGCGUGCUGUCGAGCGGCGUAAGGCCGGCGGCGAACAUGGCUGCACCGCCGCACCGAGCAGGGAGGUGUCGGGAUGAGACGUCGUUCAUUUAGGUUUGGGUUACCCUAAUAACCCAAAAGGUUUAUCACUACUUGACCCAUAUUUGUUUGGGUCGUCCCAAUAGAUAUUUACACCAAAAAUUGUAUUUUGGGUACUGGGUCAUUGGGAAAAUCUGCAUCCCUAAUGGACAACAAUCCUACUUAGAGUGACGUUUUAUCAAAAAGGAAAAAAAAACGUAGGUACUGUUUCCAUAAAAGAUAAGUGAUUUUUUGCGUGUAGUUAACCAUCUCAAAUUUUGGUUACAGAUUACUUUAUAUAUUUUAAGUUUUUGCACGUUUGAAAAACGAUGAGUAGAUCUGUAUUGUAAAAAUAGUUUCAUAAUAAUAUACAUUUGUUAUACAUUACAAAUAUAUUAUAAAAAAAGUAGUCAAAGUUAUGUGUAUAUUAUAAAAAAAAUAGUAGUCAAAGUUAUGUUUCGGGCUGACCAAUGUCCUGUGUCCAACCUAUGGAGAUGCCCUGCUAAGUGCUAACCGCACUCGUUGGUUUCACUUAUUACUCACAUAAUGUAGUCCUUCAAUAGGAUCAAUUGUCAAAUCAUCAUGAUGAGGAUCCUUGGCUCCUACGUCCUACUACGCAUUGGCUGACCUUGGCUGCCGAUAGGGACGGGGAUCCCAUUUGCAUCCGUGAACUCAUCUUUCAGUGGGUAACAUACUGAAGUAUGGUACUGCAGCAAAAUCCUUUUCAUUGGUGUAGAGAAUCCAUGCCGCAUGCACUGACUUUUCCGCAAAGUGACAAAGAUGUUAUGUGAUCGGGGGCGGAUCCAGGACCCGGGCUAGGUGGGUUGCAGCCCGGGUCCAGCCCCUAUAGCCCCCUUUGCACAACCAUGUUAGAGACGGUAAAUUCAACUGCACGCUGUGAUAUCUCUCAGGCAAAAGAAACCCAGCAGGUUGAUAUCAGGCUAGUUCAUGGAGCAUUUCGUCUGCUGGAUAUUGCCUUUGUAAAUUGAUCUUUUUUCACGGACACCGAUCACAGCAUACAUUGAGGGGGUGUUUAGAUCAUGCACUAUUUUUUAUUCGGGUCGGAUCGGAUGUUCGAUAUCAAUUAGAAGAACUAAACGUGAACUAAUUAUAAAAUUAAUUGCAUAAGUCGUGGUUAAUUCGCCAGAUGAAUCUAUUAAGUCUAACUAAUCCAUGAUUAGCACAUAUUUACUAUAGCAUCACAUGGUCAAAUCAUGGACUAAUUAAGCUUAAUAGAUUUGUCUCGCGAAUUAGCCUUCAUUUGUGCAAUUAUUUUUAUAAUUAACCUAUAUUUAAUACUCCUAAUUAGUAUCUAAACCUUCAAUGUGAAGGAACUAAACUUUAGUCCGUGUCUUCGAAUGGGGCCUAAGUUCAAUCCAGGUCAGAGCCGAUUUCAAGAUCCGCCCCUCUAUGUGAUACACAACGGGUUAUGAGAUGGAGGGCCAUAGUUAGGAACUCAUUGUUAGAGGGGAUGAACAGUAGUAUUUUUUUUUUCAAAAAUUGAUAUUAUAGAGCUGUUCAGGUCCAAGUUGGCAACUAGCCUGUGGCACAGCUAAGGUCAGUCUCAGUGCACAGUUUCAUUCCACUGUUAUUAAGACCGUAAACUAGGUAACUGUGCCAGUUAAGUGUCAUGGGAUGAAACUUCUCUCAAAUAUUAUGAAACUCCUCUUCUCUUUUCUCACAAAGAUUUUGCUGAUGUGACAUGAGCCCGGAGGGAUGCACCGAUGCAUGAUGCAAAGAAGGCGUUGCUUGUUGUGUACAAGCGGGGUCAAACUGAACGUGCUAUCGCCUCGAGACUUGUGUUCAACACUCUGUUUAGCAGAGCUGGAACAAGCAAAGUCACUCUUUUUCAAAAAAUAAUAUAAAAAGUGUUAACAGUACCCCUCUAGUUAUGGCAACGUGGAUGCAAGGUGAUUUAAAUCCAAAUAUUAUGGUUUGUUUCAAAUUUAAAGUAGGUUUGAAAAAUGUUCUUGGUGCAACUUUUCCCAACUCGCGCAAACAGUAUGUGGCGUUAUGUCGAUCGACCUGCCGACACACGUACAAACUUUGACCGGUAUACACAAAUGUAGCAGGUUUGCGGCUGGCCAUUCUCAUCUCCCUGAGAAGUUUACACUAAAUCACCGGUGCAAAUUUACCCGUUCACCUGAUUACGCACGCAAACCACUCUUAUUGUACGCAUGCAUGCACUCUGGAGCACAAAACAGAGACAAACAAACGAGCCAAGGCUGCCAGCUGCAAAAAUAAUCGACAAGUUGGGUGUGCAGUGGUGUCCCGAUGGACUCAACCCAACAACUCUCUCAUGACAAAGCUUCUGCAAAGAUUUUUUUUUCCUUAAAAAAUUUGAGAAAACCUCUGUCAUGACUAGAGCAUGACAAGGAAGAGUACCGGACACGAACGCUGCACGUGUUCAGCAGUGCUGGCCGUCACACCUUUUUUUUCUUUGGAGAUGGCACACACGAUAUUUUUGCCGGCUGGUCAUCGUGCGAUCAGCGUACGCGAUCUGAUGGACAGCCACUGAAUUCUCAUCCAACCGUCGGUGGGUGAUCGAUCGGUAACGUACCUAUGUACAUGCUGUGGGACGGGCUGGGCUGGAGUUCAUCUCACCUGGCGUCUGAUGGUGGUUCAUGCUCCCUGCACCUCGUAGCAAAUUUGUCGUCGGCGAUAACAUUUUUUAUAUGGACUGCCAGAGCACUGCAAGCAACUUGUUUGACGAUGCUGGGUAAGUUCCAAAGUGCAUACCGUAGUCUUUAAUCAACUGAGCUCAGGAAAUGGACUGGUACGAUGUGCUAGAGAAAAGAACCAUAUCGGUUUCCAACUCUUACUCAAAAAAAAUUGCUCAGCUUGAGACCCAAGUUCACUUUUUUUUUUCUCCGAAACACGUAGUACAGACGCGGACGCUCGUACAUACUCGCCCCUACAAACAUGCACGCAAUCUUACCCUAUAAGUACCUUCGAAAGACUGAGCUGACAAACCCUCGAGAUUGACGAAGUUACCACUGGCACCUCGCUGUCGACGGGCACAUCGCCUACCAUGUGCUAGUUAAAUCAUGGAAUAUAUUCAGGAAAAUGUGAGCACCAGUGCUGAGUCGAGGACCUGAACUUUGGUCGGAAGGUUCCUCCACAAGGAACCUUACCAGUUGUCAGUGUUUAGAUUUGGCAACCUACCAAGGGGGGUGCCGAGGUAGUGUUUUGGUUGGUAGGGCUCGUCAAGAUCAGGAACUCGAAGGUAAACACAGACACACGAUUUAGAUAAGUUCGAGCUGCUAGAUUACGUAAUACCCUAUGUCCUGUGUGUUUGUUGUAUUGGAUUGCUUUGGAGGGGUUCAUACCUCGCCUUAUAUACACGGGGGCAGGGUUACAGGUCGGUUGAUUACAAGAAUUCUAAUUAGAUUCGACUAGAGAAGCCUUACUCUGUUACAACGAGUACUUUCCUAAUCCUCGACUACUUCCUAUCUUUUUAUGUAGACUACACCGUUCUGCGCCAUGGUCUUCAUGUCACAUUCAUCUUGGUGUCCAGCCUCGGUCUGUCCAAACCUUCUGAUGGGCCCAUAGAUGUAUGUACGACACCAGCUGAGCUACGCUCAGUUCGCAGACCAAGUUCAUUAAAAACAUCUAUAUCUAUCGGUUGACUGUACCUGGGUUUGUCCCCCGAUGCUACGUUGUAUUCCCUCCGUUGGUCAUUUUUGGUAUUUCUAAAUUAAUAACUUUUAGUAUCCAGAUGUAUAACAAAAAUUAAGAUUUAAAAAUGUCAAAACGAACUACAAUUUGGGAUAGGGAGAGUAUACUCCAAAACAACUGAAUUCAUAUGAACUUGGUCAGUUCUUGCUGAGAUAUGAUAAAAUCCCAAUAAUUAGGUGGGCCCAGUGCCUAUGCGCCCAACUUGCACCACACAUGGUAUAACUUGGUGCCUCACAGUACUACCCAAAAUAUUUGUAGUCACGCUCCUCUCCUCUUAUUAGGAGCGGACUAAGAGUUCUCGGCACACAAAACAAACUAGCAUUUACUGUAGCAUUUUGUCCAUACCUGAAAAUCAUUUCUAGGUGUGGAUCAUAGCUCGAGCCGUUCCUAUAGAAAUAGGGACAUAGCCCGCUCCUGCAAACGCAUAAACUGAAACAAUGUGAUAAAAACAUAAAUAGAAAAAGUUGCAAAACCAUGUUACCAAAUACUCCAUAAAUAGUUUUUCAUAGCGGAUGUGAAUCUUAAGUUAAGAUUCCAGUCAUCCUGGUGCGUAUCGGGGCAUCGGGCUACCUAUUUUUUUAACACUUCAAUUGGACAUGUAUAGCCGUGAAAAAUACGGUCAUGAACUGGCAAACAAUGGUACGGCCUUUGAUUGUUUUUACCUUUUGUUUCAAAACUUAAAUUAAUGAUCAAAACUAAACGACCACAAAAAGAGAAUGCCACAACAUACACGACACUUGUGAAUUCUAUGUCGCAUGUCACAACAUCACUUUCAAGUUUCCCUAAGAGGCUAGGAUCAUACUGCCCUCUUGGAACACAAGAUCGUGAACCGAAGCAGAGUGCAUGGCCAAGCUGACCACUGAACAGCCAACCAGAGUAGCAGACCGCUCCAACCAGAGUCUCCGGAUCCAAACAGAGCAGUGCGUAAAGUUCAGUCUUAGUUUAGGGACUAAAGAAACCAAACAGCACCUAAGCCUGGCCUAGUGGCGAGCAGAGACAAAGGAUUUAUGUGCCAUAUCCAGUCAAUCACACUCACACCCUGGCUGGAGCCCGCCCAUUUCCCUAAUAAGCAAGCUCCAGUUCAAUAUGGCAAGCAUGUAGCAACGCCAUUCGUUCAUGUUUUGCCUCAUGGUCAGACUUUCCAUAAGCCAUUGUACUGACAAUAGAGUUUUGUCUCAAUAAUGAAAAACUUCUUUUGAUCGCAUCACAACCGCACCGCUGCAGGACACGCAGCAUUCCCCUCUUCUAAUUCAACGAACCAACCCUGGCAGGCACGGUCAAUUUUUGGUCACCUCUGAUUGGUACCCUAUAAGAUGUGGCCAACUUUGGCAAUCGAAAUGAAGUAAUAAUGAACCAAAGUGGCCAGCGUAGGAGGCUACCAUGACAAAUUUUGACACCCAAUUAAAUGAUGGCCAAAAUUAGUCGAAGCAGUUAAAAUUUAGCUUGGGCACACUUUGGUACCAAACCAAACAUGCCCUAUGUGACCUCUAGGGCCAAUUCUCUACAAACAGUAGUCAUAAAUCCACACAAUGGAACUGGUUACAACAUGCCAAACCUUUGUACACCCACAAACAGGCCUGAAGUACUACACACACGCUCGCACAUGGAUAGGAUUUCCACCUAAAACCAGUGCUUCGGAUCCAGCCCAUAUAUAGCAACACUGGCCCAGCGCGCCUCGGAUGUUCGGCUACCGCCAUAUCAUCCACUGAUUUCAACUAGUGCUAACAAGACUGCUGACUAACAAGACUUAAUCUAGCUACUCCAUCCAUUUCAAAUUAUAGACCGUUUUAGCUUAUUUCUAAGUUCAUAGAUAUUAUUAUGUACGCGGACACUCCAAACAGCCUAUAAUUUGAAACGGAGGGAGUACAAAUUAGAUGCACGCACGGCUUAGAUUAAUCCACUAAGAAUUACUAACAAAGGAUUAUUGCUACAGGGCAGGCUGGCCGGGCCUACAGCAUGGCCAGCUUCUUGACGUUGAUGGGGUAGGCGUGCUCCGGCGAGCUGGAGCCGUAGCCCUUACGCGCGAUCACGGCGUUGACGGCGUCCGUCGGGUGCAGCCCGUCGAAGAACACGUACUCCGUCCGGUCCCUGCAGACGGGCCCUUGCUUCUCGCACAGCACGCCCGACGAGCUCCUCGACAUCUCGCAACAGGCCCUGCCCGUCUCCCUCACACCUGAGGAUUUUCACCAAAUAAAUGUAAAACAAAAUCAUUUUUGCAUCUAUAUAUAACCGUUGCGUGUCUACUGUGUUUCGAAAACAAAAAUUUCAUACUGAAACCGGAAGAAAAACGAAUCAUGUGGCUUGUUUUGUACUACCUGUCCUAACGAGCUGCAUUUAUUAGAGAGAGAUUUUAGGCAUUGAUAGAUGACUCGUACCGUGUUUCGCAGGGUGGUCCAGCAUGUCCUUGAUGAUCUUGUACGAGUCGACGUAGGCGAGCCUGGCGGCGGGCAUGCGCGACCUCGCGCCGUCGACGAGCCGCCGGAGCUCCGAGUUGAAGAGCGCCACCGCGUUGUUCACCGGCUCGAUGCAGGCGGCGCCGGUGAUGUUGAGGAACGCGCGCACCACGGGGGUGCACCCGGUCGGCUGGAUCGAGAAGAUCACAAACUUCCUCGCGCCCAGAGCGUACAGCCUCUGCAACGGCCAAACGAAGCAUGAAGCUUAACACUGCAAAUAUGUGAGGCCAUGAUAUAUAUUGUAAAACAGAAAAACUAUCCAUAUUUCACUGGUAAUUUUAGUGCUUCAUUAUGUGAUUUUUUCCCUAUAAAAAGAAACAAAUAGACAUGGGUUUAAGGCACAAUGGCCUGCUGGCCAGCGAUUCAUGUGAAAUCCCUGGCCGACCACAGUGAGUGGUCACUGUUGCUCUUCCUGAGUGCUUUGCAUAUUCCAUGCGACCAUGCCUUUACUACUGUGCUUCCUGACUCAUAUCAGUGUAUGUAUGAAUUAACUGACCAUAUGCACAUGUUUUUAAUAGCAUACCAGUCUGUCAUCCGCAUAUCAAGCAAUGGACACCAAUAUGGUCCAUCCAUGGUGGCCAGGUUGAUACCCCUUUAUUUGCUUGCAUUCCUAUGGUCUUUAUUUCCACAUGUCCUAGGAACUGUGGUUCUCCAGUCAGUACAAUUACUGAGCAAAUUACUCUACUGCCUGGUCAUCUGCGGCUUUAAUAUCUGUAACAACUAUGGGUACACUGCACACAGGGGCAAAACUGGCUGUACUGCACAAUGAGAUCAUCUGUAGCUCAUAGUACUACCAACAAUUUACCAUGAGCUACAGCAUGAGCAUGAACAGCCGCAUGAGAGGGUCUCUGCAGUUACAAGCAAGAGGCAGAGGUACCUGAAGAUGGGCGGAGAGCUUGGUGAUGAUAGACCUUGUGAACUCCGGCAAGGGCGGCGCGCCGUCGUCGGAGCCAUUCCUCCUGGGGUUGAAGUAGUUGAACAGGUAGUCGUUGCCACCUGUCCCAAUGAUGAAGAGGCACUUGGACAGGUAGCAUCGCUGGAAGGGAUCCUGGCCCUUGAUCCUGUGGUCGGUGGCGGUCGCCGCUGCUCCGCGCAGAUGGGCCCGCAGGUCAGGGAGGGUCACCGCCUCGAAGUUGCUGAUCUGCCGCCGCAGGCUCACCACCUCGCCCUGAAACAUCAAUGGAAGCGCGCACGUUGCCAUGUUUAAUUAAUCAUUGCUGCUACGAGUAUUAGUUAGAGAUUAAGUAGUUAAUGCAAGUCGUAGACUGACUCACGGUGAGCUGGCCGGUGUGGUCGAGGAUGCCGGAGCCGCCGGAGGCGAAGUUGACGCCGCGCAGGGCGGCGCGGCCGCGGGUGCGCGGGUCGGCGAAGGGCGGGACGAGCCCCGGGAGGUGGAGGAGCUCACCAAGCGCGUCGAUGACGUUCCGGCCGUUGGAGAACCGGCCGGAGGGGCCCAGCGGGAAGUCGACGCCGUAGGGGAGGUAGUCGGCGCGCACGCCGGAGCCGUUGAGGAAGUUGUUGUUGCCGUUGUCCACCAGCGAGCUCCCGAACACGAACAUCCCCUUUACCUGCGGCCGCUGCCUCCCCGCCUUGCCGCCGGAGCUCCUCCCCGCCGCCGCUGCUGCAGCAUCAGCAGCUCCGGCGCCGACAUGGUGGCAGCUUGUUGCAGCGGCUUCACACUGUAAGCGGAGUGGCAGUAGAAGCGGAAUGGAUAAGGACACGAUGGUCAAGAGGUAGACGAGCUGCUUCGCCAUGGAUGGACUAUUGUACUGUAUUUCGGUGAGCUUGCUAAGCUAGCUAGCAGCUCUAGCCUGAAGCUUGCCAAAAGCACUGCGUUCUGGCGCUGCUACUUAUAGGCGAUGGUGAUGAGCUGAUGAUGAUUCAAAUUCAAUGCUGGUAGGUUUGAGCAGUAGGUUAGAGAGAGAGGGAGAGGGAGAGAGAGAGACUGCAUGCAGUUACUGCGCACGUACAGCGAAAAUUUAAGCUGCUGCCGAUGCGUUUGUACAGGUUUGGCGCGAACGAGGGAAUGGGAUCUGAUGAGCUAGUGUCGCUGCAUUACAUUGGAAUCCUGGGAUUUACUGCGUCGAUCUUUGCAGAGCCGGUACUGUGGUACCGAGCAGCUCCCUGACUGAUCGGGCCGUUAUUAUUGCUGCAAGUGAUAGCAGGCAGGUGACAGCUGAGUUGCUGGCAUUCAAUGAACACUUGACCGGGCGUUAAUUUUGGAAUAGAAUCCCCCGUCUGUUCCCUGUGAGCCUGCAGUAGCUUAACUUCAGUAGGCCUCUUGCCUCUAGCAGUUGGACGGGGAAUUCCUCAAAAUUGACUCAACCGAGGUAAAUCCUGCAUCUUUUUAUUAGACCAUUCUCAAUAGAAAUUUCAUUUUCAUUAAAUAAAGUGCUAUGUCAGCAUUUUUGAUGAUAUGGCAAAGAGGUAAUAAAUAAAGAGGUGAAAUGAGUUUCAUGAGGAUGAAACCAGAUAUACAAGGUAGCUUGUGUCUUGCAUGUAGCCUAGGAAAUAAUAAAGAAUGAAAUAAUGCAUUGUAUGAAGCUAUUUCAACAAUGAAUUAAAUGUUCUUUUGCUUACGUGGUAGUUUAGAAACAUAAAUUGAAAUCAUGAAAAUGGCCUUACAAAUAAUACAAGUUUCCGAUAACAUCAGCAUAGUCUAUAAUAGCAAUUUAAUUGGUACUAAUAUCUAAAAAUACUCAAUAAAUCAUGUUUAGAUCCACCUAACUACACUUUAUCUAGCUAAUUACUAAAAUUUUUUAUUAGCUAGUUAAAAAGUAGCUAGCUUUUUUUUUAGGUGGAGUAUUUGGGUUCAACAGCUAAUUACUUGUUGUGACCCGCCAGAUCUGGUCGUUGAGUUGGGUGGAUUUGGGUGGCCGCCGCUGUAUAGCUGCAGGCGCAGCAGGCGAUGCAAUACCAAGGGCAAAGCCAGCUGGAGAACACACGAGAACUAACCUUCCAUCCAGGAGUUUUUAUCCCGGUUAACUUUAAACUCGGGACUAACAUAUCUUUAGUCCCGGAUAAAAAAUGAGCCACCGACAGGAGGAGCUUUAAUCCCUGUUGUAAAGAUCAACCGGGACUAAAACCCCCUUUAAUCUCGGUUGUAACGGCUAAAAAAUAUCGCACCGAUGGUGGGAGCUUUUGUCCUGGAUAGAAAUUUCAACCCAAAAUCCCACACCCCCCUAGUCCCUGUUGGUAAAGGGAGGGGCUUUAGUCCUGGCUGGAAUUUCCAACCGGGACAAAAGCUCAUCGCCUAUAAGUUCACCAGACCGAGAGCUUUUCUUCCUCCCCGAGCCAGAGCCACUCCACCAGAGAUCGAGAGCUUCCUCCUCCUCCUCUUCAUGGCGAGCCAGCAACCUUAGGGAGAGGUGCUGCCUGAUUUUUUUUCCUCAUUUCCGUGGGGAUUUCACUCAUCCAAAGUAUUGUAAAGGUUAGCUACUUCAUCAUUCCUUCAUUUAUUGUUAUUAUGCUUUGUUUUAUGCUUUAGAGAUAGAGAAAAAUGAGUUUUUUAGAAUGAGGGAGAAUGGAGAGGAUUUUUAUUUAUACAUGUUUUUGAGCUAGAAUUGGAUGGAUAGCUUGCUUGUUAUAUAUGAUUCGUAUUAGUUUAAAGAACUUGAUCAAUAUUAGGUAUAGGGAAAAAAUAGAGUAAAUAUGUUUUUAAUAUUUAGUCAUCACAAUAAAAUGAAGGUAAAUAAAUUGUAGGUGUAAGAAAUAGAAUUCGGUUAUUGCUACAAUUUUUCAUGUCACUGUAAUUUAACAAUAAUUGUAUUUCUUUGACCAAUAAUUUAUUUAUCUCAUGUUUAUUACAAGGACUAAAUAUUAUAAACACACCUACUCUAUUUUUUCCCUACCUAAUAUUGAUCAAGUUCUUUAUCUAAUAUGAAGUCUUAUAUUCAUUUUCCACGUAAUACGAUGCAGAUGGACCGGAAAUGGAUGUACUACCCUGCUCCUCCAAUCCCAGAGAACAGUGUUUGCACAUGGGAUGAAUAUGCUUACACUAUUCUAUGUACAUAACUCAACUUUCUACGAAGUCUAUGGAGAGUCACCUCCGCUCCUCCAGUACCAGAAAAUAAUGGUACAACAGAAGAAUUUCAAAUCCACAAACUUGGGCUAAAUUUGAUAAAAAAAAAAUCUUGAAAUAGUAUUCCAAAUGUCUUUUGGAGCCUAAUUCUCAUAAUAGAAGUAUGCUGGCCAAUAUCCUCUUCAGGCAGAGAUCUGUUCACUGACCUUUACCUAGCAGCUUUUUGUUGGUUUUGGCUUGCCACCAUGGGCCAUGUUCAGUGAACAGAUCUUUUGCCUGGACAGGCUAUUGUGUGUGUGCCACCAUACUUCUAUUAUGAGAAUGUGGCACUUGCUCUAAAAGACGUUUGGAUAAUUAUUUCAAGAUUCCUUUAUGAUAUUCAGCCUGAGUAUGUGGACUCGAAGGUCUUCUAUUAUACCAUUAUUUUCUGGUACUGGAGGAGAGGAGGUGACUCUCGAUAGACUUCGUAUAAGAUUGAGUUAUGUGUAGAGAUGGCUUUGAGGGCGAACAUUCUGCUAUGUUGUACUAUUAUUUUAGGAUAAUUGACUACGUGAAGUCCACUAUGAAGCAUCUGUAAUAUUUAGUGUAUAUGUAUCUUUAUUGUCUUGUUCCAGCAUUCUAUCAUUUUUCUUUUUGUCGACCUAGUGAAUGUUAUGAAUGUUGAUUAGUAUAAUUUUCAUGUGAAUUAUUUUUAUCUUUAUGAAUGUUGAUUGGUGUAAAUUACGAAUACCGACCAAGUUCUUUAUCUAAUAUGAAGACCUAUGGCCAUUUUUUACGUAAUAAUUUAUUUAUAUAAUAUUUUUUACAAGGACUAAAUAUUAUAAACAUAUUUACUCUAUUUUCCUCCUACCUAAUAUUGAUCAAGUUUUUUUAUCUAAUACAAAGACCUAUGUCCAUUUCUCAUGUAAUAUGAUGCAGAUAGAAUGAUAAUGGAUGUUUAAUGUGGACAGAUGGACCAAGGAGUUUGUUGAUGGCUUGCACGAAGUGGCCAAAGCCAACAAGCAAGAGAAGGGAUUCAUAUGUCGUCCAUACUUCCAAUGCAGUAACAAGAAGGACUACUCUUCUUGGGGGACUAUUCACAGCCAAUUGUUUAGAUACGAUUUCAUGCCUAACUAUUUGGUUUGGACCAAGCACGGCGAAAGAGGGGUUAUAAUGGAAGACGACGAAAAAAAUGAGGAUGAUAACAACAUUCCGGACUGGGCUGCAGGCUAAGCUUUUGCAGAUACUACAAUGGGCGAGGCUGAUGAAGAUGAGUUUGCAGAAGACGGCCCUAUUGAUGAUCUUGGUCAGGUGCUAUGGGAUGCCCAAAGAGAUUGCAAAAUAAAGAAGGAAUCAGAAAAGUUGCAGCACAUAAUAGAUGAUCACAAAAAAUUGUUGCACCCAGAUUGCAAGUAGGGGCAUAAAAAACUGGGUACCACACUGGAAAUGCUACAAUAGAAGGCAAAAAAUGGUGUGUCCGAUAAGGCAUUUCAGAGGAUAUUGAAAAUUGUACAAAACAAUCUUUUCAAAAAUAAUGAAUUGCCGUCCACAACAUAUGAAGCUAAACAGGUUGUUUUCCCUCUAGGAUUGGAGGCUCAGAAGAUACACGCAUGCCCUAAUGACGAUAUCCUCUAUCGUGGUGAUGAUUACGAGAAAUUGGAUGCUUGUCCUGUGUGCAGAGUGUUGCGGUAUAAGAUCAGGCGAGAUGAUCCUGGUGAUGUCGUGGGGCAGCCUCCCAAGAAAGUUCUUGUGAAGGUGAUGUAGUAUUUCCCUAUAAUACCAUGUUUGAAGCGUUUGUUCAUAAACAAGGCGAAUGCUAAGUUGAUGCGAUGGCACAAAGAAGAACGUAAGCAAGAUGAGAUGCUGAGACACCUCGCGGAUGGGGCCCAGUGGAGAUCAAUUGAUAGAGCAUUCCCGGACUUUGAAAGUGAUGCAAAGAACAUAAGGUUUGGUUUAAGUACUGGUGGAUUCAAUUCAUUCGGUGAUUUGAGUAGUGGUUAUAGUACUUGGCCUGUGACCCUAUGUAUGAUCAACCUUCCUCCUUGGCUAUGCAUUAAGUGGAAGUUCAUUAUGAUGCCGAUGCUUAUCCAAGGUCCAAAACAAUGUGGCAACGACAUUGACGUAUACCUAAGACCGUUGGUUGAUGAACUUUUACUGCUCUUGAAGGAAGAAGCUGUACGUGUGUCGGAUGAGGAUAAACAAGAGAGCUUUGACCUACGAGAAGUGUUGUUCGUAACCAUCAAGAAUUGGCCUGCGCUGAGUAACCUUUUAGGACAGACAAAUAAGGGAUAUCGGGCCUGCACCUACUAUUUAGAUGACACAGAUAAUAUGUAUUUGAAACACUGUAGGAAGGUCGUGUAUAUGGGCGAUCGUUAAUUUCUUCCUGCUAACCACCCGUUAAGAAAGAAAGGAUGCAUUUCAAAGGGGCGCCAGACCAUCAUAAAAAACCUGCACACCAUAAUGGAAAGCGUGUAUUUGAGAUGAUAAAGGAUGUAAGGGUAGUUUUUGAAAAGGGUCAUGGUAGCGAACCUGUUCUGAACAACGAUAAUGGAAGUGCACCCAUGUGGAAGAAGAAGUCUAUAUUUUGGGAGCUACCUUAUUGGGAAAUUCUAGAAGUCCGCAACGCAAUAGACAUGAUGCACCUGAUGAAAAAUCUUUGAGUGAACGUGCUAGGCUUUGUGGGUUGUUAUGGGAACUCAAAAAAUACAUUGAAAGCACGAUAGGACCUAAAACGUAUGAAGCAACGAGAUGACCUACAUCCGGAAAAGAGAGAUAACAGACAACACUACUUACGUCCUGCCAGUUACACUCUCAGCAAGGAAGAAGCAACGAGAUGACCUACAUCCGGAAAAGAGAGAUAACAGACAACACUACUUACGUCCUGCCAGUUACACUCUCAGCAAGGAAGAGAAUGAUAGCAUGUUUGAAUGCAUGAAUAGUAUCAAGGUUCCGUCUAGGUACUCCUUGAAUAUAAAGGGAAUAAUAAAUAUGAAAGAAAAGAAGUUCAUAGAUCUAAAGGCCCAUGACUACCACAUGUUGAUGAUCCAUUUGCUUCCGGUUGCAUUGAGGGGUAUUCUACCAGAGAAUGUACGAUUGGCUCUCAUAAAGCUAUGCGCGUUUCUCAAUGCGAUUUCGCAGAAGGCAAUCAAUCCAACCAGGCUACUAAAGCUAUAGAACGAUGUGGUUCAAUGUCUUGUCAGCUUUGAGUUGGUAUUUUCACCAUUCUUCUUCAAUAUUAAGAUGCACCUCCUGGUUCACCUAGUCAAAGAGAUUACUAUUCUCGGUCCAGUAUUCCUGCACAAUAUGUGGCCUUUCGAGAGGUUUAUGCCAGUCCUAAAAAUUAUGUUCUUAAUCGUGCCCGUCCAGAAGGAAGCAUCACCAAGGGAUAUGGAACAAAGGAGGCUAUUGAGUUUUGUGUUGAUUUUAUUGACUCAAUUAAUUCGAUUGAGAUUCCAACAUCACGCCACGAGGGGAGGCUACGGCGAAUGGACACCCUUGGAAGGAAAUCUAGUUUGAGCAAUGAUAGUGAUUUGUUCCAUAAAGCACACUUCACAGUUCUGCAACAAUCAUCAUUUGUGGCUUUGUAUAUCGAUGAACACAAGCAGAUUCUAUUUUCCCAAUACCCGACGAAAUCCAAUGCAUGGAUUAUAUGUCAUCACAUGGAUACUUUUCCCUCUUGAUUGCGUGAACACCUUAUGGGUAAUUCCACGAUUCAUGAACAACUCGCUUGGUUAGCCAGGGGACUUUUUAGCACAAUCGUGAAAUUUCAAGGUUAGGAGAUAAAUGGUUAUACAUUUAACAUGAGAGCCCAAGACAAAAAAAAUACCAACCAAAAUAGUGGUGUCCGUAUAGAUGCCAUAGACAGCAAUAGGAGCAAGGACUUGUGUUACAGUUUCGUAGAGGAGAUUUGGGAACUUGAAUACGGACCGCUGAACAUUCCUCUGUUUCGUUGCCGGUGAAGCUAACUGGAGGUGGCGUAACGAAAGAUUAGUAUGGAACGACAAUAGUGGACCUGACCAAGACUGGAUACAAUGAUGAACCAUUCAUCCUUGCCAUUGAUGUGCAUUAGGUUUUCUAUGUGAAGGACAUGUCUAGCAAACCUAAGAAAAAUUCAGAAGAUAAAGAAAAACCAUGGGAGCCAAAGCGCCACAUAGUUUUUCCAUGUAAAAGAAAAAUCGUGGGAGCCGAGGAAAAAACAGACCAGUCAGAUAAUUAUGAUCAGUUUGAUGGCAUGCCUCUAUUCGCUGUCGAAGUUGACCCAAACAUCAUGCUACCCAAAGAAGAGACUCCGUACUUACGCCGCGAUCAAGACUAAAUAACUUUUGUCAAGAAAAAGUUUUUUAACAUUACAUUGUAAUACACUAAAUAUGGUGCACCUUUAUGUAAUGCUCUAUAGCUAUCAGAACCUUUGAAUUAUAUUGUAAGGCUCUAUGGUGAACAUUUAUUCGAUCAAUAUAAACAAUGUUAACUUAACCACAUACAUCAAUUGCAUUUUUUACGCGUUGAAAUUAUUUAAGUGAAGAGUUUGUUGAUGAUAGUGAUCCAUUAAAAUAAUUAUUUUAGAAACUUAAUCGACUAGUAUAGAAUUAAUGAUUGAUUCAAACUUCUUUUAAAUAUACUUGCUAAUUUAAUAUAUUUUUGCAUGUUCAAAAUAUGUAAGUUUUUAUUUUUUUCUUUAACAAAACCAGUGCAAAACAACUUAAAACAUAUAUAAAUUAAAAUUACAAAACCAGUGGGAAAUGAAAACCCCCUUUAGUCCCGGUUGCAAUUUCCAACCGGGACUAAAGGGUGCUUUUUCAUCUCCCGCGCGAAAAGCAACCUUUAGUCUCGGUUGGAAAUUGCAACCGGGACUAAAGGGGGUGGGGCAUUUAGUCCCGAGUUGAAUUUGCAGCCAGGACUAAAGUCUCUUUAGUCCCGGUUGCAAAGUCAACCCGAGACCGGGGGGGGGGGGGGGGGGGUUAAGACAACCGCCCCCUUCUCCCCUGCCUCGUCUCCCACACUCUGCAAGAUCCGCGUUCCCGCUCUCGCUCAUCUCUGCUCCCCGCAUGCGCCUGGCUGUCAUCCGCCCACCCCGUCCGCCGUUCGAGUGCUCCCCGCCGUCCGCCUGCCCCGGUCGCCGUCGUCCGCCCGUCCCGUCGCCCACCAUCGUGUGCGCCCCGUCCGCCGUCGCCCAAGUCCUGGCUGCACCGUCCGAGCAGCCGCCAUCGUCCGCCCUGUCCGCUUGCCCCGUCCAAGCGCCCCCUUUCCCCCUCCCCCUCCCGUCGAGCCGCUCGCCCCGACGGUACAGGCCGGCGCAACCCCCCUCCCCGCUGAACAAGGGCUCUUGCUGACACAAGCACCGGGGCUUGUUGACGCAAGCGCCUUUUUUUAUUACUGUUUUCAAUGUGUAAUUACUAUUUAUAAUGUGUAAUUUGUAUAAAUUACAUUUAAUCCUUAGAAAAUUAGUAUGAACUAGUUUAAAUACUUAGAAAAAUCAUACAAAUUGGUUUAAAUACUUAGAGAAAUUAGUACAAAUUAGUUUAAAUACUUUGAUGUUCAAUGAUUUAUUGUUGAUAACUUGUGUUUUGAGGACCCUAUUAAUAAAAGACGCAAUAUCUCAUAUCUUUUGUGAAUUUUUUAUAAAUGAGGAAUACUUAGAGUAGUUCCAACAUUAUAUUUUUUAGGGUGCUCUAAGAAAAAGAGAGAAAGGUUAUUGGCAUUGUUUUCAACAAAGUUUCAUCAUUUGCUAAAAAAUAUUCCAGCCUAGAAAAUAGGUUAUCAUUGCCAAAUUUUCGAAAGGCAUUAUUGAUAUAGGUGCAUAGAUUAACUUAUCUUUUUGUAAUAUUUAUCUCAUUCAAUGCUAAUACUUGAGUUCAAUUCGAAGACAUGUUGGUGCUUUCAUAAUUUUUCAACAUUACUUUUAGGUUAUCUUACUCAUGCCAUGAAAUACAUGGAAUUUAAAUACCAUAUUAGUUUGUGUACCAUUUUAGAUUUAUGCACUACUUCAUUCAACCACUAGAAUGGUGAAGUUUUGGUUUCAUGAAAUCAACAAAAUCAAACUUUGAUGCUGAAUGAUUCAUUGAUGCUGCAUCAAAGUCUAUGAUAUAAUUUUUAAUUUAAUGUACUAUGAUUAAAUGUGUGUUUAAAUUAGUUGAGAUGGAAGACGAAGAGAAUGCAACGUAUAUAAUGGAGCAGAUUAUUGAUGGAGGUAGUGACUCCAACGUUCCAAUAACCUACAAUGAGGAUGAGGGUAGCUAGGUGGACAUGUUCCUCAACAUGUUCGGUGAUGGCAACGAUGAGCCCGAGUACCGUGUUGAUGACAAUGUGAAAGCAUCUAGGCCCCUAACUUGAUUUUGAUAAUUAAUGACGAUCUUUGUGGACUAACAAUUUCAUUGAGAAUAUGAAUAUAGGUUAGUCCCGAAAUUGAAUUGAGCUUCAAAAGAUGCUAUGGUGAUAGCUUGGAUGGGUUGUACCUUGGAAAGCUCAAGGCAAAGGUAUAUGGUAGAGUUUUCUAUUUUUACCGGUCAAGAGGUGCUUAGCGGAUGUAAAUUGACCGGAUUAAUAGGCUAGAUAGCCGUACUAUCAAGAGGGGUCAAUUUCAUUUGCUUGACGGUUUAAUAGUGCCACUUUGCUCAAACUAUUGCAUUGCAUGGAUAUGGACUGACAUAGUUUGAGAAAGUGAAAAAGAUGAGAAGAAAAAGAUGUAGAAGAGUGCUGACCGCAUAAAAGCGAAUGGUCUGCGCCUUAGAGGCGAACGGUCACCCUAACUUAGACAGAAGCAUGUUUUGGGGCUUAGGGGCUUUUGCUUAAAGGCGGACUAUCCGCAGGUGUUUGAGCGGACCGUCCGCAGUUUAGAAGUUCGAACUGGCCACGCUGAAAAGUAUACCGCGGACGGUCCGGCCCUAUAAGGGUAGACGGUCCACCACCUCUGUAACGAUACAGUCUGAUACGCAUUCAAUAUUGAAGUAGCCGUUGGACUUGAACGGCAGACGGUCCGACCCCUGUGAGGUGGACGGUCCGCUAGUCCCCAGUUUUCACGACUUUGUAAUCCAACGGCUAGUUUUGAAAGAAAAGGCUACAUAUACUUCACCCCAGGGCAUGGGUGAGUUCUCUUGGCACUUUGGAAAGCUUGUUUGACAUUUUUGAGCCUUUUUCCACCUCUCACUCACUCACUUUUCUUAGAGAUUGCAUUCUAGUGAGAUUGAGAGCAUCCUAAGGCAUUGCGUCAAGAGUUUGAGCUUUGUGGCACUAGGGAGUCUUCAAGCAAGCAUCAUUGGCUUGUUACUCUUGGAGGUUGCCGCCUCCUAGACGGCUUGGAGCCUGUGGAGCCAUUGAGCCCUUCAAGGAAGAUUGUGAAGGAGUCCCGGCUAUUCUUGUGAGGGGUUUAUGCUCACCUCGCUGGAGUGGUGAAGAGCAAUAUUAGUGGAAUCGAGGUUUGGAGAGGUUUUUUUAUUCAAGCCAGCUCAAACAUCAAGCGGUGUCUUGAUAGAGGAGUGGUUGAAGCAUUGAAUCGACCUCAACGUGGAUCAGGGGUGACCGGCAAGUCAUCGACAUCACGGGAAAAAUUUGUCUCUUGUGUUCGGUCUUCUCUUUGCUCAAUCUCUUUAUUGCAAUUUACUUUGAGCAAAUAUAUUCCUAGAGUUUGAUUUGCACCUUGUCACCCUAGGUUGCAAAACCUCACAUAGUUAUAAAGUAGCUAGAAAUAGUUUUCCUCUUGUGUUACUAAUUAAAUUUAUUUAGUGUUGUGAUUUUAGUUGAAACCACCUAUUCACCCCCCCUCUAGUCGGUAUCCUAGAUCCUACACAAUGCAGAACAAAACCUUGCCGUGAUGGAAGGUUGUGGUGAGGUAUAUAUCAUUUUCAUUAUUUUACCCCAUCUGUAAUUUCAUAUUCAUUUUUACUAUGUACUAAUUAAAGAAUCUUGAACUGUUAGCCCUCUCGAUCGAUGAAGCGAAAUAAGCCAUGAGAUCGUACAAAGAUAAUGGAGGGAACACUUCACAUCACCGAAGUGACAGAAGAGGGCCAGCCAAUUGCUCUCGAAAAAGUGGCUAGAAAGUUCGUGAGUCAAUGCGGGGCUAUUGUAAGGGACAACGUGCCCAUCAGCAUUAGAGAAUGGAAGGGUAAAUAAAAUGAUCCAUACAUGCUCCCGCAAACACAAAAGGAUAUGUUGUGGGCAGAUGUCAAGAAACACUUCACACUUCCUGAAGGUUUCGAAGAAAAAGAUGUGAAAGAGUGGAUGCUGAAGAAGAUGGCAACCCAAUUCCAGACCUUCAAGAAGAAUCUGGAAGCCAACUUUAUCAAGAAGGGCCAAACUCUAAAUUUCGAUGAGUGGUCAAAGUUAAGGGACCACUGAAACUCAUUUCUGGAAUACAAGAUGAGUGAAAAGUAGUGCGAAUAAGGUUCGCAUCAACUCAACUAAUGCCCAGAAGAAGGAGUACCAUCAUCGUCUAGGGUGAGGUGGUUACAUAAGUGCAAUUCCCAAAUGAAAAAAAGAUGGAACAAGAUCUAUUCGAUCGAGGUAUCGUACCAGCGACUAUUGACUGGCCCGAUCGAUCAAAGAAUUGGUAUUACGCUCAUGGAGACAACCUGAGCCAAGAGGAUGUGACACUUAUGUUCAACGAAACAAUACAUAAGAAGGCCAAAAGGCUUAUCCAAAACAUUGAAGAUGCUAAAGCGGGAAAGUUGAAGGUUGAUAGAGAGAAUGAUGAGCUCACUUGACGCUCGGGAAUCCCGAACACCCAUGUUGCCGAGGCUUUGGGGUCAUUUUGUGAAAGUUUGCUUUCCGUAGGGACAUCGACACAUAUACAAGCUGCAAGUGAAGAAAAGGAACAACAAGAGGAGAGCUGGCGGCGCAUGUUAGAAGAUAAAGUGCAUUCACAAGAAGUAAGAAUGCAGGAAGAAAUUAAUCGGUGAGUAGCCCUGGCAGUUACUGAGAUGGCCCAAUUUGAAGCACUGCCGAUCCCAACGUCAUCAACCCUUCUCAAUGACGAAGCAGCUAUGCUUCCACAGGGGUCCCCAAUGAGAACAUGCCAAGAUUACCCGUGGUUGCGCAGGACAACCAACGGUGAUGACAUCACUCAACGCACCUCAUGUGAGCUUUAUAGAUCAUUCAGCAAGAUCACUAUUAAGGUAUACAUAUAUAUAAUGCAAUCUUCUCAAUUGAUCCACGCCUCGGAAGUUUAAUAACUUCUUUAUUUCUCCUAUAUGUACAGGUGGCGUAUGAAAGUGUUUUACCAAUCCUGCCAGGUCAGACAAGCCAUGACAUGGAGAUUCCACCUGGCUACUCCAACAUUAGCCUAGAGCAGAUUUGUGAUAGUCAAUAUGAAGGCCUAGAGCUCAACCUCCCGGGAGGUGACGGGGAAGGGCACUAAGAGAUGCACUUCACGGGAUCAUUCUAUGGCACAAACCCAUCAUCCCCGGCAAGGAGGCAUCAUUGCUCCCCGUAGAUCCCCCAUAGCGACCAUCUCCUCAGAACUUAAGACCGUCAUAUCUAGCACAUCCACCUCAAGAACCGUUGUCACCACCGGUCCCGUCACAUCCUCCUCGAUCACCAUCUCCAUCUCCACUGGUGGUGCGAGCGACGACAACCACAACAUCCCUCUCCGAUCACUGUCACCGGGACUAAGACCCGCAACGAUCAAGGAACCUGCAACACCUCUGAAGAAGCCACAACCACCGCCUUCCAAGCCAAGGCAGCCAAAGGAGAAAGAACCUGUUAAGAAAAUAAAGAAGUCUGAACCCAUUCAGAACCUACCAGCCGAUAUGACUACUAAGGAAUUGUGGAGGUAUCGCAAGCAACGGUGAGGGAGUUCUUCAAAGCAUGCGUUGAACAUAGAAAAGCAAAGGAGAUGGAGGUAAAGCCAGUAGAUCCAUCAAAAUUAAAUUUUUUUAUUGGCAUAAAAAAAAGAAGUCAAGAGGACUUUACUAUCGAGCUACAAGCGUUUGUUAGUUAAGUUUGAUAAGAAGAAAAAAUGACGAGGAGCGUCGUCUUCCAGUGGUACUGUCCCCCAACUCGGAGAGCAAGUAGAUAAAGAUGCUCAAACUAUAGCAGCAAUGGCCUUAGAACAACAAAUCCAAGUCAUUACGUUUAUGCAAGAUACAGGUAUGUCGCUUGCUGAAGUUCUAGGGCAAGUACAACCGCCAGCUCUAGAAAAGAUUGUACCUAAAUGGCCUUUUGAGGUAGGCAAGCCUCUAGUUAGGCCUACACUAGUACGAAAGCUCUCUACGAAGAUGUACAAAUUCCAUCAAUGGUACAAGGAGUAGUUUGCCAACAAAAGGCUCAUGUUCGCUCUUCGUGUUAAACCGAUUAAUUUUUUCAGCAAAGUGAGAAACUCCUGUGGAUGGAAUUCAACGAUAUAUAUGAAGUGUACCACAAGGAUGCCCUUGACGUCUCUCUCAUCAGCGCUUGGGUUUUGUAAGUGUCUGUUUAUCAAGACGUAAAUUUUGGCUCAGAUCAUUAUUUUAUGUGUGUGCGUCGUCUUAUUAACUUUAUCUUCCAUUUUAUGUAGGAUGCUAAUUCAAAGGUGCCGUAGAGAAUUGUAUUUCAACAUUGGCUUCAUGGAUCCAUCAAUCGUUAACCAAAGCAGAUAUGGGAUCAACCAAAGCAAACAUUGGAGGCAAUAUACAAUUUCUUGGAGAAACAAAAUUACAAGAAAUACAUACUACUGCCAUACAACUUUAAGUACUGUCUAUUUUUAUUUUCUUUUUCCUUAAUGUUAGUUAGCUCUAAUAUGAACAUUUAUGUACUUAGUUUUCACUGGAUUCUCCUAAUAAUUAUGAUUGAUUAAAGCCACGUUAUUAUGUUCGAUUCAUUGAGGAAACUACCGGCGGAGUAUGAAGACAUUCAAGACAUGCUAAACUUGUAAUAAUUCUGGACCUUUAUCUCUAUGCAAAAGUUUGUUUCUUAAAUUUUCACCUAACACUAUAUCAUUCAUUAUUUUAAUCCAUAGCACAUGGAAAUGAUUCCGUAAGACUCACCAUGGUGAAUUCACAGAAAAACUUACAUUCAAUCAACGUUCCCGAUACGUACGAAGUUUGCACAUUUUGUACAUUCUAUAACACAAAUAUUUCAUAACUUGUUUUUUUCCCACUAAAGUACUUGAGGCAGGAACAAGGCAAUAAUUUAUGUGGAUACUACGUCUGUGAGCACAUGUACAAUUUUGUGCAUGACAAGGUGCUGUCGUCGCAUGAUAUAGAUGUACGUAAAAUAAAACUAUCAAUAAUUAGUUAUUUUCUAGCUCCUUAUAUUUAAUUGUUCAUGUAACAUUCACAUAUUUUCAAAUUACAGAUGAUGGAUAUUCAAGAAAGACUUUUGGAGAAGGAGAGGAUUUUGGCAAUCCAAGAAGGUCUCAUAGGAUUCCUGGUGGACGAGAUGAUAAAUCCCGCAGGAGAAUUUUAUUACGACAGAUAUUCAAUAGCUGAAUCGAGCAACAUUGUAUAAAUACUAGUUUGAUGUGUAUAAUAUAUAUAGUACUGUCAUGAAAUAUAUAUACAACUUGCAUACAAUAUUAAUAUGGAAAAGAAUUUUGAAAAAAAGUCUUAAGUACGCCCCUUUAGUCCCGGUUGGCGUGCUUGCGCCUGCGUGGCCACCCCUUUAGUCAAUGACCUGGGACUAAAGGACCCAUUUUUAUCUCGAAAACUUAGUCUCAAUUGGAUUUUCGGGAUCUAUGACCCUAUCCAACCGGGACUAAAGCCGUGUUUUCCACUAGUGCGUAACUCCUUUGCAACAAUGGGAAUCAAGCAUAGAAUCAAUAGUAUUCUGUUAAGCGAUUCUAGAAUUUUGUCGGGUCAACUGACCCCGAUGAACUGGCCUAGAUCAUAAUAUCACGCUAGGUGAUGCAGCACCACGCUGUCUCGCAUCCCCGUCGUUGCCUUGCUUGGCCACAGCAGCAUGAGCCACACACACGUGGGCACUGGACACCACGUCACAAACAAUUUUUGCUGGCGGGCAAAACCGGUUUCUGCUGGCGGGUUUCGCACCCGCCAGCAACUCACAGUCAGUACAGUUCCAAUUUGCACUGGCAGGUGCUUAGGUGGCCCGCCAACACAGAUUUUUUGGGAUAAUAAAAAAAGCCAGCACCGCAACCGCGGCCGCUCCGCCGCUCGUCGUCGGAGCCCAGCGCUCCUGGAGACCCGCCGCCCGCCGACGCCGCCCCGCUCCUGGAGACCCGUCGCCUGCCGGCGCUCGCACCCACUAGCCGCCGGCCGCCCGCCGAUGCUGCUCCUGCUCCUAGAGACCCGCCGCCCGCCGACGCCGCCCCGCUCCUGGAGACCCGUCGCCUGCCGGCGCUCGCACCCACUAGCCGCCGGCCGCCCGCCGAUGCCGCUCCUGCUCCUAGAGACCCGCCAACGCCGAUCCCACUCCUGGAGACCCCGUCGCCCGUCGUCGCCACCCACCGCUCCCACUCCUAGAGACCCCGUCGCUCGUCGUCGCCGCCCACCGAAGCUACACCCACUAGCCACCCGCCGCCCGCCGAAGCCGCUGCUUACCGCCGCCCGCCGAAGCCGCUGCUUACCGCCGCCCACCGCUCCCGUCGAAGGCGCGCCCACCGCCGCUCCCGCCACCCGCUGAAGCCGCCGCCGCUCCCGUCAAAGCCGCCGCUCCCGCUGCCCGCCGAAGUUGCACCCACUGCCGCUAUCGCCCCCCGAAGCCGCCGCCUGCUCAUGCCGCCUGGAGAGAUAAGAUAAGGAUGGGAUAAGGGAGAUGGGAAGCCAACCUCGCUUAAGAUAUGAGAUGUAGUGGGCUCUGUGCUAGCGGGCGCUUAGGUAGCCCGCCAGCACAGACGGCCCGUCACCUUUGUGCUGGCGGGUACUAAUUUCGUCUGCCGGCACGCUAAUUUCGACGUGUUAGUACAAGUCGUUUCUGACGUAGUGGAAGCCCAUGUCGUCACCGUGCCUCCACGCUCGAUUAGGCAUCUCAUAUCUGGGCGAGCUUGUUGCCCAUGGCAAAACCAGCAGGCCCUGUCACCACCAUCCUCGUCGGCUGUCGGGCUUCCGAUAGCUACCUCUUGCGAUGGCAGGGUCAUAGAGGAGAAGGGCCUGACUGCGUAGGGUUACGGGCAUCGCCUGAGUCACUCUGGGGCGAGCGACGCAGGGGCAUGAGAUUCCGUCUGGGAUAAGAUAACUCUGUAAGUCCUAAGAAGAUAUAAUACAAAGGUCUAAAUGUUUUUUAUAUGCUAUAAAAGAUAGAAAGAGAAAAAAUAUACAGAAUGACAUAUAUAAGAGAAGAAAAUGAAGAAAUAAAGAACACAAGAACCCAAUACUCAUGCAUCUUGAAAACAUCCCGGUAAUUCAGAAUUUAUUAAGAAUAAAUAAAACAAUUGUCAAACUGACGUCAAUGACUGUUCCAUUUCUUCUUAAUUUCAUAAGAAUAUGAGAAUACUAGUAUUAUAUAACAAACUCGCCCUAACCAGCAGUUUUUUCUGGGUGGUCCAAUAAACCAUGAAACUGUGAAUACGUAUGUUUACCAUAAGGAUACUUUUAAACACACUUCAGACGCACAUAUAUACAAAUACACUACUUACUCUUUACGACAAUGCUCAUAAAUCAUAAUAUCCUAAAGAUUUAGUCAAAUUUCUCUCACAUUCAAACGAUUAUUUUUAUGUCCUUCUCUGAGAAAUGAAAUCUUAUGCUGAAUUGCUACCAGUAGAGUUGAGGAGUUGAGAUGGGUUUUGAAACAUGGCCUGUUCCUGUAAGGCGCAACUCAAAACAUCUCCAAUCCCUCGCUUGGCCCCACAUACUAGUGUUCGCCCUGUUCGGCUGGACUUAUAAGCCAGUUGAAAAGCUAAAACGGCUGAUUUGUUAUGAGAGAAAAAUACUGUUCGGUGGCUGAUAAGCCGGCUGAUAUGCUAAAGCGAAGAGGCUGGUUGUCCUCAUGUGAUAUUCACUUGACCCCUCUCACUCGCUCCCCUCAUCGUAACGGCAAAUCUGGUGCCACUCACCCGGGAAAAAAAAAGAUAUCCCCUCACCGACCGUCCACGCAGACCGCACACUCAUCCCACUGCCAAUCGGGCCCACUUACCCACGCCCCACAGCCCAGUGAAACAACCGUGAAACCCACCCCCCACCACCGGAAAGUAUUCCGCACACGCUCCCCGACCCGCUCCGUUCGUCGUCGUGUCGACUGGGUCUUCAUCCACCUCCCUUCCCUUUGCUCCGUCUCCAUCGCGCGCCCCUCGGGAUCUCGCCUCGCGGAGCUGGUGCCUCGCGCGCCGGCGGCUGCUGCGCGCGCGGUAGGUCGGUCCCCGGCGGGCGAGGUGCAGGAGAGAUCUCCUCGCGGAGUUAGGGGCGGGGCGGGCCGUGGGAGAGGUUGCUGGGGCCGAUGGGCGGGGCGGUCUCCGGCGGCGCGGCGGUCGGGGACGCGGCGGGGGCGACGACGUACCCGGUCGUUCUCAACGUGUACGACCUGACGCCGAUCAACAACUACCUCCACUGGUGCGGGCUCGGGAUCUUCCACUCCGCCGUCGAAGGUGAGCGCCAGGCCCGAAAUGGUGAUCCUUUCCGGAGGGGAUUGUUCGGUUCCGAGAGGAAUGGGUCCGUAGGUCGUAAUGUUCUCUUGACUUUGGCAAUUAGAUGCGAUUUUAUUGGAAGCCAUGCUUUUGUUCCAUGAAAAAGCGAGUUCCUUUUAGCAACCAGCAGGAUCUUCGAUUGGUUUGAUACAUGUUCGAAUUGACAAUGGAGAAAGUUUUUCCAUCUUGAGAUUCUAACCGAGACAUAAGCUAGACGACAUGCUGGAAUGAUUGGAUUAGGAAUAUUGGGCAUCCAUCCUGCUCGGCAUCUGAUGGGCUUUGCAAGCAAUGAGUAGUUUCCAAAUAGACCUAAGAUUAUCAAUUGCCGCUUUGAAAAUAGCAUGACACGCGAUAAUUUUGUUUGUCUUUAUGAAUGGGCUCUUUUAACUUAAUUAUGGAGAUACCUCGUUAGCACUUUAUCACUUUGUUUUGAACAAACUUGUUUAUUUGUUAGCUUACUUAUAUGGUUAUAUACCAACUUUCUUUUGAAUGUGUCAUGUGAUCAAUCCUUUUACAGUAAUUCUUGCGCAUUAGAAAAAAGAUAUAUUUCACAAACUACACUAACUUCAUCAAGGCUAUCACAAAAGGGCAAACACACUUUUGAAGACACUAUUUUAAAGAACCACACUUCUCUUUCCCCUCUCAAAUAUGCAGGAGAGCUACGCAUCAUUUCACUAAACUAGUAGAAGAGAAAAAAAGUAUACAAGGCGAAAGCCUUACAGGACUUUACGACACACAGACUCUAGGAAAUAACCCAUCCGGGAAAAAAGGACCAAGGAAAACACCACCUAGUCUAUUCCCAAGAACAGACCCUGGAGCUCCCUGGCUCUGGUGGCACACCAUAAGGUGCCUUCUUCCUUGACAUCCCACACGACCUUGUUCACAUCUGGAGAGGCAGCAUUAAGGGCGUGUUUGGAUGGCUACCGCACUGCACCACAUGUCCCCACACCUCAGCUACGGGCGCAGCUCGUGCGUUUGCUUGCAGCCGAGGCUUAGGCACGCCGAAGAACCACCACAGAGUGCUAGUUCAUUUUUGCCACUGCUGCUCACCAAAAGUGUGGCGGACGAUUCGUCCGCUGUCCUGUGACGGCGUCCAAACAGGCCCUAAAGACACCAUCAUUACGAUACUUCCAUGAUAUGGGCGUUGGUUUAGCAAGGGACAGAAAGUAAUUAGGCACAAGAGAUAAACGAAACUCGCCCUCUCGAUGGAGGCUCUGAGUUGAUUAGGUUUAAUUCUUGCUUGCUUUCCCUGAUUGCCUUCCCCUCAUAUGUAUAGGGUUGGCACAAUUACAAUCUCGCAGGCUUACAACUCCUUUUCAACUCUAUCUCUAACAACUGAAUCCUAACAGCUUAUCUCUCCUAAUCGUAAUCCAAACAACUUCCUAAACAAAUAUCUAAACAAACCGACCAAACAGGACUCAAGAGGAACUCUGCUUCUUCUUCUUGUGAGAGAACUUCCUGCCAGAGAAUGCAUCCAUAACAUUCCACAUUUCCCAUGAAACAAGGAUGGUCAGCAAAUUAAGCCCCUUUCAUUUCUGUUUGUCCACUUCAUUGAGGGAGCGACUCCACCAACUAGAGAAACCUGCAGCUUCAGAAUUGGGUGAAAUCCUCCCAUGCCCAGCCCACCAAAGAAUGAUGAACCAAACUUGCCGAACAAUGGGCAAUUCACUUAUACUUCAACAGCAGAGGACAAGAAUGUGUUGUCUGCUAUCAUCCACUUGGUCACUUAGGGGACAGUGAGGAGGAUGGGGAAGACCUCAGCCUAUCUGUCCAACCUCUUUUCAGGACAGCCAACCAAAUGAAAACUUUUGCAGCGAAGGUGCGCCCAUGGAUUUCAAAUCUGUUUUCAUAGUGCAGAUCUGAUGGUGCCCACAAAGAAAGCCUUAUGGGUUGAUUUGCAAGUGUAGGUCCCAGCCUAUCUGCUGUCCAACUUCUUUUCUGGAUAGCCAACCAAAUGAAACUUUGCAGUGAAGGGGCACCCAUAAUUUCCAAAUCUGUUUAUGAUUUCCAUGGUGCACAUCUGAUGGUGCCUACAAAGAAAUCCUUAUGGGCUGAUUUGCAUGUGUAGGUCCCAGAACUAGAGAACGUCCAGAUAUGCUGAUCUUGAGUAUCAUUUUGCAGAACCACAAUUCAGCAAAUAUUCCUAUGUGGCUUGUACAGUCAAGGCUCCUCUAAUAUCAGGCACCCUUCUACCAGAUCCCAGUUCAGCAAAUAUUCCUACGUGGCUUGUACAGUCACGGCUCCUAUAAUAUCAGGCACCCUUCUACCUAAUCUAAAUUGAGCAAAUAUUCCUAUGUGGCUUGUACAGUCAAGGGUCCUCUAAUAUCAGGCACCUGGUGAUGGUUAUCAAGAGCUUUUGCUACUGUCAAUUUGCAUAAAGUUUCACAAACCACACUACCACAAUUUUAUUUCAUUCUUUUACAAAACCAAACAUUUUAGCUCUGUCUCUUCACCUUUGUGAGCUGACCAGUGAGACCACUGUUAGAGAUGAAGGAAUGCUUAAAAGUGUAGUUUUGUAAUGCUUAAAAGUUUUGUGUGGUUUUGCUUAGAAAGGUUAGCUUAAUUGUGUGGUUUUGUGGUAGUUUUAGGACUCUAGUGUAGUCCUGCGAAACUUACUGAAUUUUUUGGUGGUUACUGUAGUAAAUUACCCACUUAAACUUUUGUUGUAAUGGGACCUCUGCUGUGUUGUCAAUAGAUAGGCUUAUAGUCUUGAAAGUGCCCUUUAGGAUUCAUGAUGAAUUAGUUGAAACUUCAGGUUCCAUGGGAGAUAUGCCAUUUCAUAAAAAAAAUACUACCCUGACAUCCAUAUGCCAUUAAAUAAAAAAAAUAGUAUUUUGCUGAGACACUCCAUCUAUAGUGUUCUAGUCCAAACUUCAAUUGUUUCAAGUUGCAAGUUCUUGAAAAGUCUACCACUCUUAACCUGCAAUCCAGUAUACAUUUAUUUGGGCAGCUAAUUUUAGUCCAUAAAAGAAUAGUUGUCAUUUUGCUCUAUCUAUCAACCAACUCAAUUGUUUCUAUGUUUUCAUAUGUUCAAGACUUUCUUUUGAUAAAGAUAGAUCUGUAAAUGUCAGUAAAUUUUAUUCUAUUUACCAAUUGUGUAUCCAAUGGUAGAGCGAUAAAUUUGUGAAGCACUAAUCCAUUACGAUCUCUCUCUGUAUUUUUGAGGGAUUACUGCACAAAUUUCCCUGAAUAUGCAUGUACCCGUGAUGAUAUUGUCAUCAUUUUAUGAUGAGGAUCAAAAUUUGAUAAGUCUUUUCAUGUUGUAUUUGGAAACAUUUGGUCCAUCAUUAUGCAUCAACCCCGUCCACAUGUCCAAAUUGUUUAUGUUUAUGUUACUCUGUUUUGAACAGUCCAUGGAUCGGAGUACAGUUUUGGAGCACAUGAUCACCCAUCAAGUGGGGUCUUUGAGGUGGAACCAAAGAACUGCCCGGGCUUCAUAUACAGAUGUACGAUUUUCAUUGGCAGCACAACUAUGAAUCCCUUGGAAUUUCGAGAAUUCAUUCAGAGAAUGGCCUCAGAAUAUCAUGGAGAUACUUACCACCUCAUUUCCAAGAACUGUAACCACUUCACGGAUGAUCUUAGCACCAGAUUGACAGGAAAAACAAUUCCUGGUUGGGUUAAUCGACUUGCAAGGCUAGGUAAUAAAACAUGUGCUCCUUGUAAAUUAUUCUCUGAAAGUUUCAAGGAUUGUAUUACUUCCCAGAAGUAUAUCACACUAUCACUUAGGUGUCUUACGUUGUUGUAUAAUGAAUAAUGUUCGUGGAAAAUCAACAGAAGUUUGACUUGUAGUAUCUCAUAGUUCUAACUACAGGAUUAUCCUGAUUAUAAAUCUAGUAUUCUAGUUAAGAAACUAUAGAUGGGAGAAGAUGACCAUACUGAAAUGUAGAAGAUGGCGCCCAUCUUCUUCUGCAGAUGAACAUAGGCAUGCUCAAGCUUUAGGAAAAUGGAUGGAGCAAUAGUAUCUGAUAUCAUGUAAUGAUGGGAGUAAGUUGUAGAUAAAGAUGCUGAGGGCAAGUAUGGGAUUGUUUUAGUGCUCAGGCAUGGGAGGAGACUUGUUGACUUGUAGAGAAAGAGUGAUGGCUAAACAGAGUACAAGGAUUAUUUGGGGGUGAUGAGACACAGAACUAAGAAAUGAUUAGAAUCACAAACACACCUUAUUAAAAAAUCAAACUAAUUUUUUUAUUAGUGCUUCUAAAUUUGUAUGGAAAUAUCUGCAGUUGCUUUUACUCCAAAUUAUGAUAUAAGAUAUUUGCAAAUCUAUGAUCAACAUGUCAUCAAUUCAUCGGUAUCCACCUGAUUUAAUGUAUUAACACACAGUUUCUGAAACCAUUCUGGAUUCAAAUAGUUCAACCAACAUUCUGCAUGUUUGCAAGCAGAAAAGGUCCAAGUUCUUUGAAACUCAUACAAGAUCAGCUGUGAUCGUUGAUGGCUACUUAUCCUUUGCCCCAGCAAUACACUGCUCGUCAGUCUUGACCAGAAUCUGAUAAUGAAUGUUGACCAGAUACCAGUUUUUUCCUCAUGGGGUUUAUGAGGCCUCAGGAGAAAACUUCAAAAAGAAAAAAAAACUAACCAUGAGCCAGAAAAUACUUGACUCCAGUGUCUUCCAUUCUUCGAGUAGUAUUUUUGGAUGCAACCGGUUUAUUGACAGAUGAAGCACACGAUCAUGUAUGAAAACAUGUAUCUUCUUUUCUUGGUUGAAAAGAAACAUCACAUAUUGAAAUGAAAUUUGAGUUCUGUAUUUCUGUCAACCUUGGUUUACAUUGGAGGAUAAUCCAAAUUAUUUUCAGGGGCCUUUUGCAAUUGUCUUCUGCCAGAAAGCAUGCGGCUUGAGUCAACUGAGACAAAGCAUCUUGCGGACUGUCGUUUCUCAGGUACAUACUGAUGUUCCCUGUUCCCUAUUUGUUACAACUGGUAGUUUAUCAUUCUAUUUAUAAUUGUCAAUCUCAUGUAUAUCCAUCUUGCUGUCAUAUGACAUGUAUACAUGGCUCACUGCUGUCCGGUUUGGUGUCUUUACAUCCUAAUGUUAUCCAAUGUCAUGUUUGUAUGCCUUAUUGCAUUCCUUGACUUUUAGAUGAUUCCCACACAACAAGCAAGGAUAAUUUUGAUGAAGAUGACUUGGAAGACAAACACCUGCUUCCAACAUCUUCUGUUGGUGAAGAUGCAAUUGUAAAAGAAGUUCACAGAUGAAUGUCUUCUAGAACCAUGCAGUGAGCUCUUCUGUAUUCUAAAAUGUAAUGGGUUUCAAAAUUCAAUGUGCAGCUUGUCAUUCAUUAUUGUGCAUUGUAAUUUCUGUGUUCUAAAAAUGUAAUGGGCUCUUGUUCUGUUCUGAAAUUUUGUAUACAUUCAGUGGCUUGUCCAUAUUCAUGAUUGAGUUCAUUCAUUCUACCAGCACAUGUAAUUUGUACUGCCCUCUUUAGAUUGUCUGAGAUUUGCGGCUUGCGUGGAAUCUUAAUUUGUAUUUCUUUGUAAAAUUGCAAGUCAAAGGGUGGCUAUUGCCUAUUGGGUCGUGGGAGCUUCCCCAUAUUAUCAGUGAUCCACGUGCAGUUUGGAUCUUUCACACCUUCAUUGACCCCUUCUCUUUUAAAUUAAUUAACUUAAGUAUUAGUGUCCAUUGUAAUACAAGUAGUCCAGCCAUAUCCCUUCGAACGCUCCUCUUUUGAAGAAGGCGUGAGUGGGGUGGAUGGCAAUUGAUGAAUAUGCCUGUAGGUGUCUGUGUUUUCUGUCAAUCCUUUGGAACAGAUUGUAGUCAUGCAGUAGGGGCAUUAUCCUGAGCUAUGCUACCCUUCGAAGCUUUCAUUUGAAUACUCUUUUGGUUCUAAAUUAUAGGUCGUUUUGAUUUUUUUAAGUUCAUAGAUAUUAUUAUGCAUCUAGAUAUAGUUUAUAUCUAGAUGUAUAAUAAUAAUAUCUAUGAACCUAAAAGAGCUAAAAUGACCUACAAUUUGGAACAGAGGGAGUAGAUUUUAAUUGUAACGGAGGGAGUAGAUUUUAUUAGUAGUUCAUUAUUUUGGAUUGCCAUUUCCCAAUGAUGUUAUUCCUGGAGCUGUAUAUAUAGAAUUAUGUUGUCCUCGGAGUUCUGGGUUGAAAAGUUUGGUCACAUUGUGUUGAAAGUUGAAACCCUCCUGGUUUGUUCUACUAUGAUGUUUUUUACCGUGUUACUCUGUUAGUUGAGCUUCUGGGAACCAAGCUUGGACACCUCCCAGUAGUUUACCACGCCAGUCAAGUUCAACCUCAUGGUUGAGGUCGCUGGGAGGUAGUAGAAUGUAGUAGUUGACAGCUGCUAUAUAUGGUGGCCAAACUCUCCUAUUUGCAUCUCUGUAAUUCAUCAGGUGGUCUCAGGAAGGUGCAGCUGCCCUUCCCACCCAAACUAACCAUGACAAGAACCCUGCACUCAUCUGCAUCCUCCACUGUCAAACCCUCAGAGAGCAACAUGUCAGGCUCUUGGAAGUUGAAACACCACGUCCGUGCGUGAUGACUUUGUAAUUAAUAUGUAAUGUAUCAAAUGUCAAAUGUUGUUGGACCCCAAGAACCCCCUUGAGGUAUGUAAACACAAAUAUACACUUCUCAUGCACCAAACUAAAUUGGGUCCUCGCUAUCAAAACAAUUCCUGGGCAUAGAUGCAUAUGACUGGUCCAGGGCAAGAUAGAAGUCAAUUCAGCUGCCACAAAACUGUGAUGGAGAAAUAUGCAAAAUAAACUUUAUGAAGACGCCUCAACUUUUCAACAUGCAUGGGAAUAUGUUUGCACAUGUACUACACUAUGAAUACGUUGAGCAUGUGUUUGAUGGUUUCUUGGCAACAAUUAAUAAUUGUCCAUCAUAUAUGUGGCACACAUUAAAGUAAUGUAUGACAUAUUUACACAAGCUCGUAAUAAAACACGCACCAAUUGCGUAUCCAUUUCGAUGGCACAAUUAAUGGUUGUAGAAACUGAUCUCGUGCAAAUGUUCUUAAUUCUCAUAGGAAACAUCAAGAAAUAAUUAAUGGGAACUAGGGUAGUUAAUUAAAUUUCUUAUCCAAAUUGAAGUAGUCUUUGCAUGAAUGAUCUAAAAGCUGCGAUCAAGCAUCUGGUGGAACCCCCCAUGUUUUAUGAUUGGUUCAGUUUUGAUGUUUUUAAAACUUUAUGCAAGGAAAUGGAAAGGAAGGCUUCGUGGGAUCUAAAACUAUUUUAGCUCGAGGGAGCUCCUUUUACAGUUGGGAUGGGUCGUUGUUCAUCAUUUGGCUUUCGCUAGCUUCUUGCCAACUACAUCCCUAGAGCAAGCCACAAAUGAUGUAACAUUAAUGUGGUUGUGGAUAUAUGUAUUUCUUGGUUCCAAUAAAGCUAUUUCCCCCCAAACAUACAGCAUCAUGCAUGAGCACUCAUGCCACCCACAUAUAUAUAUGAGCACCAUGCUGAAUUGAAGACUCAAACUCGUUUGGACAGGUUCUAUCACAAGGAACCUAAUUAGCUGAGUAUUGAGCUUGCCUCAGUUUGCACCAAUCAAGCUACUUUCAUCAAAUAUUUUUGGAGCCAUAUUUUGGAUAUAUUGUGUUAAUAUUUGUCGAGCCAACAUAGAUGAUAUAUGGAGGGAAUAGCUAGAGUUAACUAGGCAUUUUGAAAAAUAUGCCUUUGGAAUAGCACAUGCCAAAUAUUGAGAACAAAAAUGUUUUAAUUAAUUGCAAAUUAAACAGUUAUAGCAAAACCAACUGAUGAGUUAAAAUUGAUGUAUCCACAGUAUGUUUCCAGUAUAACACAAUAACAAUAACAUACAAUUAUGCAACACGAUAUUAUCUCUUAAUAAAUAUAUUAUAGUGUUCUUUAAGAUAUACUAAAAUUAGCAGAUCAUGACAACUAAACAUUAAUUGUGUAUACAAUUUGCAUUCAUAUAUCUGUGUUACUAGCACCAUAAAUACAUUUGUCAACAUUUAUUCAUUCCAAACAUAUCACAAUCGGUAAAAGCAUGGAUGGUGCACGUACUGUAGUUAAAUUUAUCGGCUAAAUUUAUGUUGUACAUUUACGAACUGAUUAUGAAAUGGAUGUAACAGCACACAAUAAUAUCAUUCUGGAGCUAGGGUACAAUAAUAUGUGGUUCCAUCUUUUGUCAAAUUUUUCAGAGUACACUAUCGACUCUUAGAGAACAGAUAUCAGUGAACAAACUUACAUCGAGGUCAUAUAUAACAAUAACACGUGAGCAUUAAUUUAAUCUCAUGCUUGUUGCAAUGAGCUGGGCUUAAUGUAGCGUGGGCAAAGAAAACCAAACCAAUAAGAUGGAAGAUAUACCGCGCAUGCCCAUCAUCAGACGAUAUAUCACCAUUUCACACAAUAAACCAUAGUAAGUCACCUCAUUUGUGCAAUAUUUCUUCAUGUACACUACAAUCAAAACUGAUGAUAUACAUUGAUUAAUCACCAUAUGCACGAUAUUUCUUCAUAUUUUAUACGCUAUACUGAUAAUAUAUCAUGAUAAAUUAUCAUAUAUGCAAUAUUUGUUCAUAUUUAUAUGAUAUAAUUAACACCAUUGAAAUACCAUGAUAAAUCAGAAAAUGCAAUAUUUCUUCAUAUUUUAUAUGACAUAGAUACCGCCGUAUAUUGUAUGACCAUGUUGAGAAAUCGGCACCCAAAUCUUGACACCGACUCCCUAGAAGUGGCACCAAAGUUGUGUGACACCACUUCUUCUGACCUUCACACCGACACUAACACGGGAGACCAGCUCUCUACAAGGGAACCUAAAUCUUUUAUUCACCUACUCAACUUGAUACAACACUCACUCUUAUACUCUUUAUGUGGCUACCCUACCAUGACACCACUACACUACAUGGCAACCUUGCCAUCUGCCAUAUGGCAACUUCCAUACUCUUCCAUACAAAAUAUCCUAACUCUAGAACCCCCUCCUCAUCCUAAUCUAAUUUCUUAUAUUUCUACCAUGCUAAAAUAUCUAGUUCUAGAGUAUUCUACAUUUCACCAUAAAGCAUGGCAACUAUGGCUCAUGCAUUCUCUUCAAUUUUCUAUAAUCUUCUUACCUUGCCAUGAUCUUAUACUUAUACAUGGCAAAGUUAAUCUCUUAAGAUCUCCACUGUCUUCUAGAAUGUUCCAAGUAUGCAUUGCAUAUUUCAACAAACCAUUUAUUCACACUGCUAUUACUUAAAACCUUGUUAUUAGAAUUCCAUCACUUUUCACAUCGCCACCAUCAUAUAGUGCUAUAUUAUUGAUGACUACGAGGAUUAGAACAAUAUUGUAUCGUCAUCAUUAUUCAUAUCGCAACUAUUAAUUUAUAACCUUACGAGUAUUAGAAAUGCUGAGAGCCCCCUCUCAAGAUCUCUUCUCUCUACAGACGAGACAGAUGGGCGGAGGGAGGGACGACAGCUUGGUCUAGCGUGUGUCCAAAGGUGUUUCGUGUGUACAUGGGUAACCUUUUUCCCUUUCCUCUCUCUAUCGCUUCAGUUAAAGCGAUCAACACAUGGAAUUCCUGUCUCCAAAUCUUUAUUAAUUGCUCUCAUAACCCCCUUCUCCUUCCUCCUCUUCUUCCUUUUCCUCCCUCCUCUCACCUAUCUCCGGCCUCAGGCACCACCGGUGCGCUACUACUCUAUCCCUCCAGCUAGCCUUGUGAAAUCCUCUCGCAUGUGAUCAUGCACAUGCUGAGAAGGUAAUAUAAGGGUUUGGAGCUACUACCCAUGGGCUCUUGGCAGCAAGGAGAACUGCAGGCAACAGCCAUGGAUGGCGCAGGAAGCGGCGGUGGCAACCACCGCCUCAUCGGCCUGAGGAUCGAGGAGUACGGGAAGUACAUAUCGGACUCGACCUGCUGCCCCCAGUGCGGCCACAAGAUCGACAGGAAGCUGGUAUGUUAUCAUCACUGACAAGCACGACUUGGUUAGGUUUUGAUGUAGAUAUGUUGUUGAUUGAUGAGCUUUUUGUUGUGUGAUGAUGCAUGAAUGUAGGACUGGGUGGGGCUGCCGGCCGGGGUGAAGUUCGACCCGACGGACCAGGAGCUGAUCGAGCACCUCCAGGCGAAGGUCCGGCCUGGUUCCACGGCGGCGCCAUCGCACCCGCUGAUCGACGAGUUCAUACCCACCAUUGAGGGGGAGGAUGGCAUCUGCUACACCCAUCCCGAGAAACUGCCAGGUGAAUUAAUCUAGCUAAACUGAUCAGUAGAAUUCCAUGGAUCAGUUUUCUCUAGCAGGCAUAUGUGAUGUGUGCGUUUCCAAUUUUUUCAAGAGGGGGUUCUUCUCUUGUUCCCCCAUCUCUUUCUUGAAAGAAUUCUCCUCUUCCUUUUAUUGAGUACAAAAUAUUUUUGCUUUGUAGUUUUGCACUUUCCGUUUGUUUUCCCAUUUCUAUUUGCAGUAGCUUCAGCUCUCAGCUCUCUCUCUCUCUCUCUAGAUCUCUCUCUCUCUCUCUCUCUCUCUCUCUCUCUCUCUCUCGCGUGCUGUAACUUGAUUGCACGUAUAAUUUUAUUCAUGAUACGCAUAUAAUUCUUAUUUACAAAGUGCUAUUGCUAUUAAUGGCGUAUAUUUGCAAGUUCAUGCACCGUACAAGGAAAAAGAUAUAUUGUGCAUCCAAAUCUUCUAGCACUGUACAAUAUUUAUGUUGUUGUAGCACAUCUCUGUCGCUCCUCCCUCUCUCUAGAAUGAAAUGUGACAUGGGAUCUGCCCCUAUCUUCCAAAGUUAGGUUUUGUCAUCCUCUCAAGGUUGUUAUAUCCUCCAACAGCCAAUGGCUGCUUUCAUCAUCAACCAUCUCCCUUCUCCCCUUGCCCCAAAGUGAAACAACCAAACAGACAUCUGUUGGCCAGCUCUGACACUGCAGGUCUAUGCAUAUGCACCUACACAUGCUGACGUCUAUCUAUACCAAUGGCCAUGCAGGUUUGACCAAGGACGGCCUGAGCAGGCACUUCUUCCACCGGCCGUCCAAGGCCUACACCACCGGCACGCGCAAGCGCCGCAAGAUCCAGCCGCCGGCCGCCGAGGCCUCGUCGUCCUCCUCCCCGGCGGCGCAGCAGCAGCAGCAGCGGAGCGAGACGCGGUGGCACAAGACCGGCAAGACGCGGCCGGUGGUGGUCGCCGGCCGGCAGCGCGGGUGCAAGAAGAUCCUGGUGCUCUACACGAACUUCGGCAAGCACCGGAGGCCGGACAAGACCAACUGGGUGAUGCACCAGUACCACCUCGGCGACAACGAGGAGGAGCGCGAGGGGGAGCUCGUCGUGUCCAAGAUCUUCUACCAGACGCAGCCGAGGCAGUGCGGCGUCGCGGCGGAACCUGCCGCCGCCGCAGCCUCCUCUGACACCGUGGACGGAGCUGCCGGUGCUGAACAAGUGGCGGAGGCCGCGGUAGCGCCACCGGAUGUCGGCGGUGCGUUCCACGGCGCCACCGGCAUCGACGAGUUCAACUUCACGCAGUUCAGGAGCAGCUUUGAGGAGGUGAGUCUAACUUAUUUGGUAACUUUUCUUCUAACUAGCUCAGGGAUUUGGACACUCCACCGUCGCAUUUUAGAAGGCCUAGUUAUUAGCUCACUACUAUUUGGUUGUGAGUUCUUUUCCUUGUAUAACAAGGGCAGCUUUGCCAAUUUAUAAAAGAGAGAAGUGACGACUGGCUAGUGAGCAUCGAGUCGAAUUCUAGCAUUUGAACCUUGGUGGGCGAGGAAACCAUGCAUGGCCCACUUACCAACCACAUGGCGGUUACCGCCUUGUUCUAAGUUUGUCCGAUGUUUGUACUAGUUCAAGAUUUUUGGUCCAUUAUAGUGGAUUGAGAAGGUACACGGUGAGGUGUUUGACACUUAAGAGCAUAUCAUGAUUUUGAAAAUUGAGAUAAACAAGUUUUUUUCUGCGAUAUAUCUUCCAGAAAGCAAAAAAGAACAUCAUAAAAUCAUGCUAACGUUAAUCUUGAAUAACAAAAUGUGAUAAGGUCCUAAACAUGUGCCCAUAUUUUGUGGAUUUAUUGUUUGAACUUGUCAACUUUUAGUAUGUAUUUAAUGCUCUUAAAUGUUAAAAAGUUUCUUGUAUAUGAAGGGUUGCUACUUUUUUUGUGAUCGCUGAAAUAUUGUGGUAGGAAUAGAUUGCGAUGUUCUUGUUUGGGAGGGUGUACGUUGCCAAGGCCAAUGUGCUUUCAUUCAGCUUAGUCUGAUCAAUGAAUGGUAGAGUGAGAAAAUUUGCUGCAGAAAUGCAGUACUAGCUAUGAUUGAGGCCUGAGGUCUUACCUAAAAUUGAUGGGUGUCUCUGACCAACAUGCAAUGCAGAAGUAACCUAUUGUUUUCAUAUGAGACAGCUCUAUACAAGUACCCGGCCCGAUUGCAUUGAUUGAUCUGCGUGCUAUCAAAUGGUGCAGUGUUGUACGCUGGCAUUGUUUUGUUAAAAAAAGCGAGCAUCCUGAAUUGAGAUCGUAUAAUCAGACAAGAACAUCCCUGAAAUUAGCUCGGCAUAUAAUCUACUUUCCUAAUUGGGCCACCUUCCCUAGCUACCAAUGUCCAAGCCUUAUUUAGUGAAUAUUUUAAUGGUAGAAGCUGUUGAAUGGCUAAGUCGUUAAAUGCUACACCAGCUGGAAAUAUAAUCUGUCCAAAUUUGUUCUCAAUUAACUUUUUACCAUCAUCAGUACAUAGAAAUGUAUAUAGAAGAACCAUACAGUUAAGUAGCACUGCAUUCAUUGGGAAAAGCAUUUCCACAAUCUGUAUAUUACACUUCCAUCUCAUUUAAAGACUAGUAAUAAAAAUUCACCUCACAAAGAUUUAAAGUUUUUGAAAAAAUGUUUGAAUUGUUACCAGUAAUGUUCCAAAAAAAAAUUAUAAAAAAUGUUCCCCAAAAAAAUGUUACCAGUAAUAAAAAUCCUGAUUACCUCUAAUCUUUCCCAGUGUUAAUUUUGUCUGAUUUUGGUACCUGCAGGUUAGUCGACUGUGUUAAUAACUGAGAAAUUUUUAUUUCAAACACUACUUAAGAAACUAUUGAUUGCAUUUUGCAAGUAAUUAUCAUGCGUAUACACAGGUGGACGUUGGAACAUCAGUUCAGGUUUCGGCCAGGGCUGACGAGGAAGUACAUACAGGCCAUCUUCACCUUCACCAGGAGCAUGAUCUUCAUCGGCGUCAAUACACCAACCAGGAGCAACAGCGUCUUGCUGCAGCUGCAGCAGCAUUCCAGAUCAGCACACCAACGGAGCCUAUCACCACGAUGAUCACCUCAUCGCCCAUGGUUCACCAUGGUUCAGUCUUACUUCAACAGCAGGAGCCGUAUGACCAUGGCGCGAGUUAUCAGCAGCAGCAGCAGGUAGUAGUAAUUAAUUGCAUAAUUUAUUUUGCAUGAUUAGCGUUACAAUUUUUAUAUGUGAUUAACUUUAUUGUUUACUAAUAAGACAUAUUAUUAUUACUGUUUGGUAAAAUGGACCAGGAGGAUGAGCAGCCACACCAACCUAGCAAUUUUGACGGUAGGUCAACUUCUGGGCUAGAAGAGGUGAUCAUGGGGUGCACUUCAAGGAGGUCCAGAGGAGGGGUAAGCAUACACAAACACAUCUGUCCUGUUUUUCAAUGAACUAGUAUAUAUACACUACUUGCAUAUAGUAUUUAUUUCUUCUUGUUACUGGUCCUGUUUUUUUUAUUCCUAUUAACUACUUGUGGAAACUAGCCAGCAGGUCUAUGAAAUGAAACUAGCUAGCAGUUUAUCUUAAUUAAUUCAGAUAUACCGCCACCCUCAAGCAGUGAAUGUAAUGUAUUUAAUAUAAGAUAUGUGUAGUCAAAAUUUUUAAUCUUUAGCUACUCAUAUCUUCAUUUUUCUAAAAAAACUGAUGUCAUUUUAUAAAAUAUCAAUCGGUCAUACUCUUAAAAACUAAAUCCAAAGGUUACCUUUUUCUUACAUUAUUAAAUAAAUAAAAUAAUCUGCAAUGGCGAUGCAUUUUAGGGCAUUGCCACUUCGAGCGCUUAAAAUAGUACGAAGGAAGUUUAGUCAAAACUAAAUAGAUUAAUUUGCGGGUAAAGACUGAAUAGAUUGAGCUAGUCAAAACUAAAUAGGUUGAGAACACACAUCAAUAAGAACAACAAUUUACUAGUACUAGAGAUAGUCUUAGAAAUAUUAUUUGAGGAGGGCAAAUGCAUCAUAUAGAUGUCAUGUGAAAAUGCAAUAGGUCAUGAAAUCAAUUUAUCUCCCUUUUUUCUAUGGUUAGAAGAAGUUGAACCUUCUAUAUGUAUAUACCAUCAUUUCUAAUUUCCACCUCUUUUUAUUUCGUUCAGGAAGCAUCAGGUUCAGGUGGUAACAAGGAGAGCAGCAACUGGCAGUACCCAUCCUUCUGGCCACCUGGCAGCCAGGAUCAUCAUGGGUAGACGAGCAGCAACCUGCAACCACACCUUGAGUUGCAGACAACAUUGGGGAGGCAACCAAAAGCAAACCAUGACCCUGACACCAUCAUUACUACCAUGAUAGUAUGAUCAGCAUACAUACACCCUAUAUCGCACUACCAUAUAGGCUGCAAGACUAAAAGCGAGUUCAUGGCUUCCAAGAAGCAAACAAAAGGCAAAGUUAUAGCAACAAAAUCCAAACCCAGUUUUUGGCGACCCCAUCUCUCUCUCUCUCCAACUUCUUUCUCUUCAACCGAUGCGUCUGGAUAACGGGAUCGAAGUUUCAUUUGGGUGCUCAAAUUUACAUGCAUGUCUAAAGAGACAAAGAUGAUAUUGGAGGAAAAAGCAAAAGGGAGGAUCAGAAAAGGAAAGCAAGAGACAUAAAACAAAGGUGACGUCACAUGAGAACGGUCAGUUAACCGUCGGUUGCGCACAGUGAUCGAUGCGGAAUCAUUACCGCAAUCAUAGUUCAUCCUGGGCUGGGCUUUUCUUUUCAUUCCCCCCUCAAACUGUUUGAUAAUCCGGAGUAAGGAUACCAUUAUACAAUUCAUUCUUAUGUACCUUUUGAAUUGAUGGGUUAACUGAUCCGUACACCAUUUUCUUUUCUUUUCUUUUCUUUUCUUUUCUAUUGGUCGUAUACUGAGCAACUUAGGUUAAUUACCCUUGGGAUAAGAAUGGAAUUCAAGGUGCAAUUGUAAAGCAGUUUGUGUUAUUAUGGAGUUGAUCCAUUUUAUUACAACUUUAAUUAUUUGAAUCGAUAUUUUGCAGUUUUUAUUUGGACCAUUUCUGUAUUUUUUUCAAGGUAUAAAUUUAUUUUGAAGAAAUAUUCUCCAUGCUGGUGCACAGAGAAAAGAUUGCAAGGUAAGGUGAUGGCUUUAGUUUCAAAAUCUUCCUUUUCCAUGGGAAUACCUUAGGUUCCAAAAUCUCAGUGACGUGCAUGAGGGAAUAAAUGUUACCAUCUGCUUUUGUGAUUGUCACAUGCAAAAGAACAAAAGCUUGCCAUGUCUCCUACUAUAUAAACGAAAAAAAGCUUAAUCUCAUCUCUUAUUUUCUUUCCCCGCUCUUUUGCCUUUCGAAAAAGAUUUUGAUUGGAUCAUGCAUGGCUGGCCCAUUCUAGGUAGAACUACAUCCCAGUUGCAUGCAUGUGUCUAUUUGGAUUCUGCUGCAUCCUGUCAGAAUGUAAAUACGUCUGCUCCCAAGAACAUACAUAAUUUGUAUUUCCCUGAAUGAAUGUAACGUAGUAAACCACUUGGCUCUGUUGUGAACAUGGAUGUUUGUUGUUUUAUGAAAACCGGUGACUUCAUAUACAUGCCAUGCCUGACACUUUACUGAUAAGUAAACCAAUGCAGCCGAGCGGUGUAAUGCAUAAGCAUGGCAAACGCCAGAGAGUAGCAGAUUCAGUCUACUAGAACGGUAGCAUUGUGUCGCUUACAUUCUUGCGUUGGUCUAAUUACGAAGUAGCAUCAUCAAGGAUUUACUUUUGAACAAUCGAGUAGCCCAAAGUUCCUUAGGCCUCGUUGGUUCCUCUGGAUAUGUUCGUGAACCAUUCCAGGACCGGAUUGAGUGGAUCAGAUUCCUUCACUCAAUCCUGGUCUAGUUCUAAUCCUGUCCAAGAACCAUUCCAGCCUCCAAAAACUAUGUUAGGCUGGAAAGGAAUGGAUUGUCCAUGAUUUUAGUUCAAAACACAAAAGCUAUUACAUCACCUUGAUAAUACACAGUCCAAAAACUGUGUUCCGGAGGAUUGGAGGUGGGGUUUCGUUCCGGACCUUGGAAUGAAGGGGUGAAAUUGUUCCAGUCCAGGUUUGGUUCCAGACCAGACCAACCGAACUGCAAUUCGUAUGUUGGGUCGUAUUCGUUCCAAGCCGUUCCAAUCCGCUCGGAUUGGGCUGCAUUCCACACCAUUCCAGCAAAACCGAACGGGCCCUAACCUGACCAGAAUGCGAUCGUAUCUUUCCAGGUCAUCAGGUCAGGUCAAUCAUCAAGUCAUGGCGGCGUGCCGCGUGCAUUCAUCUCUCGCGCAUUGCAUUCCUGAGAAAGCAUAGAGCCAUAGCCAUGUUUCUGCUGAUUCCAGCCGUUCCGUCGUUGUUGUUUUUUUUAUCACGAAGGUGAAGUCACUGCUCAACUGAUGAAGUUUCUUCAUGUCUUUAUGCUUGACAUGAACGCUAAUUAGGGCUCCUUUGGCAGGGCUCUGGCUCCGGCUCCGCGCGCUUACCGAAGCAGGAGGAGCCGGAGCCGCACCAAAUGGUAUCGACUGCGGAGCUAUUUUUUAGCAUAUUUAGGAGGAGCCGGAGCCGUUUUAAGCCUGCAUGGCGGAGCCUAAAAAAGUAGCUCCGCAGCUCCGGCUUCGGCUCCGGCUCCGGCUCCGGCUCCGCACGAGAAGCCCCUGAGGAGCCCUGCCAAAGGAGCCCAUAAUCCUCGGUGCUAGCUUCUGUGUCAAGGUCUGCAAGACUAAUCCACAUCGACCAGCGAUAGAUGCGGCUGGCUACGAUGACCCAUCCGUCCAUCUGAGAUCUGAUUUCCCACACUAUCAACUGCAGCUUAUUACCUCCCUUCUUCUUCGUUCCGAUUAUCGUCGCUUUCAAUUAGAUUCAGAUAGUGUCAUUGCUUUAGUGGCCAACAGAUGUGAAGUUUGAGCUUCAGGCUUUAUCCAGACCGCCAUUCUUGCUUAGCCCCUAAUCGGCGGCACGCCGCAGUCCACGCCGAUGAAAGCCACCGAGGCGUGAGUGGUGACAGGCAGCUGCCGGGUCUCGUGCGCGAGCGGCAGCUGGCGGGGGAGGUGGUCUGACGGCAGCCGCGGAUCGGACAUCUGCGGUCAGGAUUUGCCGCGCCUAACGACAAGCGGUGGAAGGGAUCCUCGCCCUCCUCUGUUCUUCUUCCUCGCGCCGUCGGCUCUCGACCGGUGGCCCUUCUCCCCUCGACGACUCCGGUCGCCGUGGUGAGAGCACGCUUUUCGAAGUGGAGACCGUGCCCGCAAAUACCAACAAGGCCAACCACCUCCGUUUGUGCCCUGGGCGUUGACCUUUGCUUGCUGCCUCGCUGGUGACGCAGAGAGUUCUGUGGCUCUGUAGUUGUAACUCUGUUACGAUUUUGCGCAGACGAUCAAGGCAGAACGCUGCGAGAUAGGCUUCGGUUCCAUAACAAUGAUCUGAUGUCGAAGACAUUACAUUUGGAUGCUCCACACAAAGACAAGGCAAACAGAUACGUGAUGCGAGUUCAGGCUUCAGAGUGCUAUGGUAAUGGGAGCCAUCACCUUAUAAAACCGUCUGGAAUUUAGCAGCCCAAGGCUGUCAGUGCUUAACGCUGAUCUGUUCCUUUCGAGGGAUACAAAACAGUGUUGAUUUGAACAACAGAAGGAAUUGCAGCGUUCCUGGAUUCACAUCACAUUUGUCAAUCCACAUGUUAUUCCAACACUUCGAGCCAUUGCCGAAGUUACAAUGUGGUAACAGGAGCCAUAGGCAAUUGCAUAUUAAACUCAUCAUAUGCUUAUGGUAACACAAGUAUAGAACUUACACCGCAGACCACUUACCACUCUGGAAGAGUUUUCUCAAAAGGUUUUUGAAAUAAACCAGUUGACAAAAUCAGAGUUCGUUAGGGUAAGCUUGUAUCAAACUAAAUCCACACGAACAAGAACAAACAGGGCAGAAUAAUUUCACAGACUAAAGAUAACAGAUUUGGAAGAUGCAGUAACCACUGAUGGAGCCACAAGAAAACAGACAACGAUUUGAGCCUCUGCCUCAGAGAGCUGGGCAUGCCAACAAAAAUUUGAGAUCAUUAUCAUGCUGCAUUAUGCACAGUUGUCUUUACAUUUUCUAUGACACAGAAUCAGGUAUGACCUCAGUCGUCUUUCCAUUGACUUAUUACAUACAUCAAUAACAACAUUAUCACCAGCUUCAUCGAGGGGCUUGCGGCACUUGUUGAACAGCAGCUAGAGGAUUCAUCUGGACAGAGAAUGCAAGUUGCAGUGCAUCAAAGAAUGCUCGUCGCAGAGAUGAUGCGUGCUGGAACACAGUCCUGUUCAAGCAGAUUCACACGCAAGCAUUCACUUGUUCAUUAUUCCUUAGAGCACAAAAACAGGCAGGGUAUUAUGGAUCUUAUGAGAAGACGAUUGCAGAGUCCUUACCUCUUCAAGCCAGCAGUUUUCCUCCGGAGCACAUAGAUUGUCGAAAACAGCAGCGAUAACAGAAGCAUUAACUUGCCACUUGGUAGAACAAUAUGUAUUUUACCAAACCUCAAGCGAACCGAAUGAAACCACCAAAAGGAGGGAUCGAAUUGAUUUGUGACACGUUGGAUUGAAGGUCGAGUGGACUUUACUUGGACCUUUUGGCUGUCGUACACAGGAGCUGUGCUUGGAGCAUCCUCAUGUAACGAUGGUGUUGAGCCAUUUGUAGAAGUGGAAAGGUUUCUUUCUGCUAUUUGUUUUACCCCUUCAACAGUGGAUGGCUUUUUAUUUGCAGCUGAUCGCAGUGCAUAAAGCUUUUUUAGUAGGUCCUGCAAAGAAACAUUAAGAAACAACUAGAUGAAAAGGAAUGAAACAGCAAAACUUACCGAAAAAGAAGAAUAAUGUGGUGGGAGUUCAGAAAAGAAAUAAAAAUUUGCAUUAAGUUAGCAUAAAAAUUAUUUGGGAAACUGUUAAAUUCCAAGUCAGAAUGGAAACAUGAUUUGUAAACUAAAAAAAGGGUAGUCGGCAUGAAAAAUACUAUCUGAGAUCUGAAACAUCCAUGGUUGGUAUGCUGUCAAAAGACAAAGGUACCUGACGGCCUUGCUCAGUCAGCUCUGCUUUUUCUGCCCAUGAGAUAGCAGUUCCACUCUCUUGGGAGACAAUACAAAGGAAUGUUACUGUAUACAAUUCUGCCACCUCAAGAUACUGCUUGGUUGACAUAACAGAUGAAACAACAAAUCCAUUUAAAGAGUUGUCUUGUCCUCCAUUCAAAACAUAAACUUCAUCAUUUGUAUAUCUCCAUUUAGCAAGGUACUCCUCAAAGAUUGGUCUAAGGUCAGAUCCAGAUCCUGCUGCCAUUUGCAUGGUAGCUCUAUGAAGAGAAAGAUAGAAGUCAUUGACAUACACAAAAAAAGGGAUACAGUACAAGUAAAAUCAAGCAUAUAAGACUUCUAUGUGAAAAAUUACCCGGUAAGGAAAACUUUAGCAGGUACUGAUGCCACCGAACCAAACAUCUUUUUAAGCUGAACAAACAUUUCAGAUGUCCUGGGAAAUUUAGCAUAGCCUGUUAGACGCUAGAAAUUUAGCAUGCCAUACAUAGACGUUCUGCAAACAUUGUGCACAAAGAAUCAGUCAUAAUCUAUAUUUAGGGAGACGAUGCUUUUCCUUUGGCAAAUCUAGAACCCCAUUGGGAUAGCUGAGCAGCAUGUAGGAAUAAACAAUUCAUCUUAUUACAGUACAUAACAAAGCCCUGAAUUUGAUUCGGGCAUAGAAGUAUUAUUACCAUAAUAAAAGCAAAUGAACAGGAUUUACCUCCUGAGUUCUUUAAGUGCCUGGACAAGUACCAUUCCAGCUGAUUCAAGAAUAUCUAAGAGUUCGUCAUGGUCACAUUCAGUCUCCAGAGAAACCGUGCGUGUUUGAUCAGACACAGAUAAAGCUGUAGAUACAGCCUGCUCGAACAAUCCGCUUAGUAGAUAGCUGUGCCAUGGGAAUGAUAACCAGGUAAGCAAACAAGCUACCAUCUUUCUUCGUUUUCAGAUAAAUGUGUAACCUAACAUGCAUAGUUGACAACACAAUAGCACAUCAUAACUGUUCGAGCAAUUUUAUCAGAAGAAAAUGAGGUUCCAACAAGUCCCAGUGUGAUAGCCAUUGAUAGCUAAUGAGAAUAAGCACGCCGUUGUAGUGUUAGAGUAACAGGAACGAGGUGGCAAAAAAACAAAGUAACAGGGCAGGCAAUGAUUUUGCAAAGUAAUUUAAGUAGAUAUAUAGUAUUACUGGGAAUCUAAUUACCAGAAACCGCACGGGAAGAAGAAAAGUAAACAGAAUCGAAGCAUAUUAAGGAGAAGAAGGGAGGAGGAAUCUUACUCCUCUGCGUCGUCGAUUUGCUUCCACAAACCCGAUUCCUGGGCAGAGGCCCCCAUGAUCCGAUGCUCCGGCGUCCACCUCGUAACAGGGGCGGACCUAUAACGCGGAGCAUAGGGGGUUCAGUCGAAUUUCAACCACGGAAAAACUUGGAAAGCAAAGCUAGGGUUCAUCACCAACAGAAGAAUUCAAUUAACUGAAGGUAGACACCCACUCCGCUCCAAUCCAAUACCGAUAUGGGGUAGGAGGGGGUGGUCGGCGUCGACGACGAGAGGCGAUUCCGUCGGGUGGCAGGCGUGCUCCGGUCCGGCGGGCGGAGGGGGGAACGAGAAGCUUAGCAGGAGUAUUUUUUGACUGCUUCACGACUAACAACGAGCCGAUGCUAGCCUUACAGUUACAGGUACUGGCAUGGCCGCAUGGGCCAUGAACGGACUCUUGUUGGGCUUGGGCAUAGAAAGGCCGAAAUUCGCGCGCUCGAGUAACUGGGCCGAUCGUGUUUUUCUCUACCAAAGUGGGCCGAUUGUUGAUACGCCGCACGUUUUUCCGAAAAGAAAAGGAAAAACAAUGGAUACAAGCGAUAACUGAUAGCAAGUCUCUCCCACUAAAAAAGACGCCAAGGGGCAAGGGGGCGUCGACACCCCGCGAUGGCUCUGCCACGUGCCACCCCUCAUGGGUCUGCCUGUUCCGCCCGCUGCGCCCUCCCUACCUCAGCGCCUCCACGCGCGGCGUCCCCUACCCCUAAUUAAAAAAUACACCCUGCCCGCCCGCUCGCGUGGCCGCCGCCCCACCGCGCCGGCGCAGCGCCACCGAGGGCUCGGGGUGCUCGCGGUCCACCGCGCCUCAGUCGCGCUCGGAGCGCAUCUUUCGAGCGUGGCACACUUCUUCCCGACGGCGAGAUCCGCGACGGGCGGCAGCAGUCAAGUGGCGAAGAUACAAAUGGAUUAGAGACCUGUGUAUGAGAGUUUGAAUUAGCUGCAAGACAAUCUUUCAAAUGUACGUUGGUCAUGCCUGUUUGCUGUAGUUCAUUAGUAGAAUCAGGUUUUUCUCAAACAAAGAUUUGGAGAAUGAGUAUGAUUUUUUGUCUGACAGACUGAAUUAAGAUGACAGUAGCUUUAAUCUUGCCUCCUAUUUGAUAGAACUGAAUGAGUAUGAGAGCAGUUUUGCAUAAUUGAUAUUGGAAUAUAGAUUCAUGUCUGCUCAGAUUCCUACACUUUACUGAAUUCAAUAUGACAAUGUAAAAUCUAAUAUUGUUGAAUUCUACUACUUAACAUUUCCUUCUCUUUUCUGUGCAGUUGGACUUUUGGAGAUUUUCUUGAACUACUUGUUGGGUAAGCAUCCUAAAAUGGACAAGCUACAACACUACCAUUAUCAUGCAUAGGCAGACCACUCUUAUGCAAUACUUAUUUUAUAACUGAUCCUACUUACAUUACCGAAACCUGUUGUAUUAGGAGGUGUUUGGAUAUUAGGCGCUAAACUUUAGCAGUGUCACAUCAGAUGUUCGGAUGCUAAUUUGGAGGACUAAACAUGAGCUAAUUAUAAAACUAAUUGCAGAACCCCUGGGCUAAUUCGGAGACGAAUCUAUUAAGCUUAAUUAAUUCAUCAUUAGCAAAUGGUUACUGUAGCACUACAUUGUCAAAAAUCAUGGACUAAUUAGGCUUAAUAGAUUCGUCUCGCGAAUUAGACUCCAUCUGUGCAAUUAGUUUUGUAAUUAACCUAUGUUUAAUACUCCUAAUUAGUAUCCAAAUAUCCAAUAUAACAGGUGCUAAACUUUAGCGGGGUAUCUUAUUGCAGAGCAUCACUGAACCUGAUGCAUUGGAGUUCAGAAGUCCUGGACUAUGGCAGUCUGUAUUUUUUUCAGAAGUGCUGGACCAAACGUCUGUUGCCUCUCUAUGACGUUAAUCCCGAUGUAGGGUGAGGUGGUGGUGAUGUGACGACACAGUUAUGGAAAUCGAUUACAAAUGCAAAGGAGUGGUGUAUCUCAACUUCAAAGUUCGUAUUUUUAAGCAACCACCCAUUGUUUAGCAAAAGGAAUGGUGCCUCAGUUGAAGUCUAUUGUCUAUAAUUUUUCUGUCAAUUGGAUUUUUUAUACGCUGGACAGGAAAAUGGUUUCCAUCAAAAAAAAUUAUAAAAAACUGUCUUCAAAUUUGCACUGAUUUAUUAACAAUUUGGUAACUUUUGUUGAUUAUACAAAGGGCCAUCACCAUGAAGACAUUGAAAAAUUAUAGUAAUUGACACUAAGAUGUAGCAUUGAUUGUGUGGUUGCAUUUCUAAAUGAAAAUAAGCCUUGAUCUUGCACAAUGUUAUUGGUCAAUUCUUCCUAGAAUGACCAUUACGCAUGAUAUGAUCAUUAUAUUUUGUCAUUACAAUUUCAUUCAUUUGCUUACGAUCAUCAUGUGUUUUGCAUGACUUUUUUGGAUAGUUGUUAUUUCGUUCAAAUUUACGCACGGGCUAUUACCUAGUAUGAUACGAAGCAAGAAGUUUGGAAACUGUAAGCAUGGCCAAGGUGAGAAAGCAGCUGAUUCGAUCCACUGCUAGAACUUGGGCAUUUCGUCGCAUACAUUUCUCCAAAAGUAUCUGAACGUGACCGGAAUGUCAUGCUAUACUAGCUUAUGUUUUCAGGUCAUGAGGUCAGGUCAGUGUUCAAAGUCUUUGUUGAAAGGUUAAUCUAAUUAAACUCUCCAUCACAAGUCAGAAACGCUACAAGUGAUUUUAGUUGAAAGGUUUGGAGCGACUUGCCCGGUUCCAUGCCGGUCCCGGAACUGGAUGCGUUCAUCGCCGGACGCUGGCAGCCGGUACGGACUGGGCGCUGACUCACUGCUCAGCUGAUGCUGGCUGGAUCAAUUCCGCAAAAUUUAAAAGAAAAAUGGAAACUGAUCGAUCGGGCUUGCCCGUCGUCUGAUCACGUCAGGAACCAGACUUGUGUUCCUCGUCGUGGCUCGUGAGAUCGAUCAAGUAGCACUAGCAGAGAGCAACGACGGAUCAAACGGGCAGUGCGCUCGAAUCUCCGAGCCUGGCGGCCCCGUCCACACCGCACCAAUCUCCAAUCUCCUGCCCUGCUGUGUUUAAAAGGCGCACGCAUCCCCAGCUCACCAUCACACCACCAGUCACCAAGCGCGCGCCGCAACCUGACAGCCCUCGGCUCGACAACUCCCCCACAUGGCGAUGCCGCCGCCGCCUCCUGCUCCGGCCGCCGCCGCCAAGGCCGGGGCGCACAGCGUCUUCGUGUACGGGAGCCUCAUGGCGGACGAGGUGGUCCGCGCCAUCCUCAAGCGCGUCCCGCCCGCCGCCCCGGCGACCCUCCCGAACUAGUACGCCCCGCCCCUGCCCCCUCCUCCCCCUCCUCCCGAUUCUCUGGUCUCGGUGGACGGUGGUUCUGAUUCCCUGCGGCCAUCGCUUUCCGUUUCCCUAUCGCGAUUCCCGCCGGCGGCGGCGCUGAUGCGCUGACGCCGUGGCGAUCCCAUUCCUCUUUGUUUUCUAGUGGGCCGCCGUCACGAGAUGCUCUCUGCUUCCGUCACCGCAAGCCUUUGACCGCCCAGUAGUGGAUCGGUGUUACCAUUGUUUUUGCAAGCUACAAUCAUGCGGUGAUUCAACGAUCCACGGAGUGGAUAUGUGCGCCGCGCACGCCAAUGGCCAAACUCGAAUCCUGAUCUUUUUGCUUGCACGCAAAUGCGCUGAUUAUCUUUUGCCUAUAUCCUGAUUUUUAACAUGCCAUGGCAAUCUUUUUUUUCUCUUGCAGCCACCGGUUCAACAUCAAGGGCCGUAUUUACCCGGCGAUCCUGCCCGUCGAGGGCAAGAAAGUUGCAGGGAUGGUCUGUCGAUUGUCGUGCACGGCUCAACCUGUAGCAUCGACCCUGCACCAAACUCUCGCUUACUUAUGCUAAUCGCUCUGCAGGUUGUCAUGGGUGUCACUGACGAGGAGCUCCAAGUCCUGGAUGCAUUUGAAGAUGUGGAGUACACGAGGACACGAGUCGAGAUAUCAUUAACCGUAAGCAUAUAUCAUUAACCGGAAGCAUAUAUCAUUAACCGUAAGCAUAUGCAAGCCAUGUAGGCAAUUCGGCAAGUAUAUGUUAGUAAUAAAAAAAGUUGAUAAGUGAAACACUCAACAGAUUUUAUACUAUAAAUGGGCCAGCCUGGUUUCCCUCAACUGCGGACUGGAAAACCAUGGCAAUUGCUUUGUGUCUUGUUUUGCACAGGAAUAGUGGCACUGUUUGCAGGCUGUGAUUUCUCAGAUAGAUUGUGUUCUGCUAAAAGGAAGGUGGUUUUGCGUUGCAGGACUCUUCGGAGAAAAUGUUGGCUGACACUUAUGUAUGGAGCGAUGCACAGGAUCCAGAUCUAUAUGGAGAAUGGGAUUUUGAGGUGAGGGACUACAACAUAUUCAUAUUCUAGGCGAUCAUAUUCAAAAAUGCUGAACAGUAACAGCUAUCACUUCCUCACUAUCUAAAAUUCUGGUGGAAACUCACUCUGCCUCUAUACGAUUAGCUCAUGUAGCAAAAUUCUCUUGAAAACAGAGACCAACCUCAGCAACAAUUUUACUAGCAUCUAUUUCAAGAUGAAACUACUUUUAAGGAUCAUGUUCUCAUCUAUCUGCUUCCAUUACACCCACAGCCACUCCUGAAAAAGAAAAAACACCCACAGCCCAAAAUGUGUUAUUACAUGCAGGCUUUAGUUUUCUAAUUUCAAAGAUUGUGUCUUCUCUGCAGGAGUGGAAGAGGCUGCAUAUGAAGGAUUUCCUCGCGAUGACUAAUGGUUUCAUGCACGGUCUCGAACAGCCUGAAGCGAAGACCCGGGUUGAGACCUACCAGUCAUUCAUCCAACAACAGGAACAGCCUGCAUCGGAGACCCGUGAGAGUUGAGACCUGUUGUUCUGCUGGUCAUUCUCAGAAGAAAUUGUACUGGCAGUGCGCUGUACUAUCUGUAAUAAGUUGCUUACAUGAUUUGUGAAUAAGAUCUUUAUAGGAUCCCGUAUAAAAUUACACAUAUGAAAUAAAAUCUCAUCGGAGAGAUUUCUGUUGAUCCUAUGGCUGGUUCAGAUGCAUCGCUUUUAGCUGUUCCAAGUGUUGAGAAUUUACUGCCAAAUCAGGCAAAUUCUUGGCUGGCUUCUGUGAAUGGUUGGAUGCUUUCUAAUUUGUUUGUGUUCAUGCUAAACUGUUGCUUCAGCCUGCAAGGAGUCAAGGAUCAUGUUGACUGUUGACCUACUAUUGUCAACAGUCUGAGGUCUCAAGUUUUGUUGAGCAAUCUGUGACGCGGCAAUUUGAGCCCGACUGAAUUUGACCGGGAAAAGGUUCUCCACUUAACAAACGUGCUAGAUUUAAGUGAUCUUCGUCGUGAAAACAGAAAUCAAGGAAAGCAUAGUUUAUCACUUGUUAAUUAUUCACCAGUAAUUGAUCAACUUUUAAAGCUCUUUAGUUCGGUAAAAUUUAUGUGUCUUCUUAAAGAUAAUCUCUUCAAUUUCCUUUAGUUCAGUGAAAAUGUGUGUGUGAUAGGAGUUUUCGUUCAAUUCCUGAACAAUGAACAGGAUGUAACACUUGGAAACAGCACAUGGUCAAUGAAGAAAUUCCUGUAGCGCACUGCGCACAAAUUGAGAUACGUGGAGAUCUUUGGCAGUGGCAUCAAAACAGCCGGAGCAGCAGUUUUUACUACAAGCAUGCCUUUCUCGUAGUACAUCAUCUUUCACCUAAGGUAAGAUUCAUUUACCAUCCCUACUUUCCAUCCAUGUGAGCGAACCUACACAUAUGAACAAAAGCACUACUAAUCCAUCGAGCCAUUUGCUCUCCUGGAUGUCAAGUGGCAACACAUCUACACAACAUUCUGCUGCUGCACGCCUUUCACCUACCACAGUUCAGGUGACGCCUACUUGGACCGGCAGCACAGAAUGUAUGGACCGGCAAGUUAGGUCAUUCAAACUGGUCAUAUGAACCAGUAGAAGGGUUACCAGAGUUCUGAUCGCAGCGAGCUCUCCAGGCAUUCCCGCCGUCUGAGCUGCUGCAGGCCUGGUUAGGGAGAAUGUUGUUCCCAAGAUCACCAUCCAAGCUCAUCUGCUGCACUUCCUGAGGCGACAGGAUCCUAAUGCACCUCACACAGUUGACAAAUUCCCUGCAUGAUAGGCAAUAGCGAUGUUAGGACAAAACAUGGGUAUGCCAUAGUAAGUAAUCAGAAUGCGUUUAUGGCUGUUCACAUUUUCAUCCAUAAUUUACUACCAAUUUUGUAACCAGUUGCAAGAACAAACACAACAUGUUUACAAGUUAAUCAUUAUUACUACCAAUUUUGUACAAACACCUAAACUAGAUGCUUCAGAUAGCGGAUUUUUUUAAAAAAAACUAGAUGAACUUACUCCCAUGGGUCAUCACCAAGAAGUAGGAUGUCAUCCUCAUGGUCCUUGUAAACAAGUUUCCAGCCAAUUCUCUGCUGUUCCUCAAGUUGCCCCUCAAUACUGAACAUGCGAGCCAGAGCAUGCUUCAACUCAUCGUAUCCAGAAUAAUGACUAAUGUCAAUGGACCGGCCUACAGCUCCACGUUUAUACACCUACAAGAACUUCUAGGUUAGGCAUAAGAGGCAACAUGAAUAUGCGAAAGCAGCGUAUGCUUCAGUUUAUAACAGUUCUAGCACAGAAUACUAGUAUUAUGCUUGGCUAAAAAUAAUACCCAAAGUAACAGUUUAGCUUUAGGCAAAACAAACAGAGAAGUGCCAACCUUGGUAAAUGUUCUCAUCCUCUUCAGAGGAGCAGCAGGCGGCCAAGAAGUUCUGUUCAAGAAACCACCGUCAUUCAUACCAGAGUCAAUUGAAUUGAAUGCCAUAUCCGAUGCACCAAACGACUGUGAAACCAUGGAUGACGAUAUUUCUUGUUGACCAUCCUUUGGAAUCCUGUAGUUACCAUCAAUGUCUGUUGAAAUAUGAUUCUGAUACUUGGAAGCAUCAAUUCCAUUUGACAAGAAGCCAUCUGCUCCCAUUGGAAAACCCAGCUGACCAUCAUUGUUUAUUCCAAAAAGUGCAUUAUUACUUGGAUCUGUACCCUGAAUAUCAGUCUCAGGAGGCGCAUCUUUGAAUAUCUGCUGCUGAUUGAAGUUAGACAUGGGGAAACCUUGAUGUAAAAGUCCAUCCGCUUGGGAAAGCCACACUGAAGUUGCUGAUGAAGCUGUUUCCAGAUAGUCCGUCGGGGGUGCACUGUUCACCAAAUUCUGUGGUAUAGGCCCUGUAUUUGGUAACUUUGAAGCCAUCACACUUUGCUUGACAUUAGAAUUCAACUUCGGCAGUUCCUUAGUCGAUCUCGGUAUCCCCGUGACAGCUUCAAGGGAGCUUGGUAUUGACAUAGGAGCAGUAGACUGAGGCAACUUCUCAUUGUUGAUCAUGCCGCAUUGUUGGUUCCUUCCAAGAAUUGGUUGCACAAGAUGGUUACCAUUAGCUGUUGAUGGUGAUGUUGAGCAAGAAGGGAUUUCCUCGGUAAGUACAGAAUGUGCUGCACCAUUUGCCAUCAUAGGACUUCCAGCUGCUGAAAUGGCAUUGACUGAUGUAGUUGGAGGAAUUGCAGCAUGUGAUGUGUCAGUGAACCCAACAUGCUUCUGUGGAACCUUCUGCUGUGGCUCUUGUUGCAUGGAUGGUGGUGGUGGUGGUGUUGCCUGUGAUGGAACUUUGGUACUUUGUUGGGGCAUCGUUUGUUGCUGGGAAAGCGAUUGAGAGUUUGACAGCUGCUGCUGCAUAUCAAGAAUCAACUUUUGCUGCUCUUGAAUUAGCGGUAACUGUGCAAGAGUAACAGCUGGUUGUGAUAGCAAAGACUGCUGCUGCUGUUGCAAUUUCUGUAACAGUUGCAGUUGAAGCUGCUGAUCAGACAAUUGCAGCUGCUGAGCUGCCAGAUUUGGCACUUGCGCAGCCAUCUUAUUUAGCUGUUGCUGAUUUUGCUGCUGUUGCUGCAAUUGCUGUUGCUGAAGCAAAAGCUGCUGCUGCUGAUGUAGUAACUUUUGUUGUUGAUGUUGUUGUUGCUGCUGCUGCUGCUGCGGAUGGGGCAGGAGUUGCGGCUGGCUGGCAGCUGGCUGCUGAUUUUGAGUCAUGGAUGGUGGUUGCUGCUGCUGCUGCAUUUGAUUCUGGACAAGGACCUGAGCCUGGACAAGAUUGGUUUGAGAUUGACUCAAUGGAAGAAGUUGGUUCAUGGACUGUUGUUGCCUCUGCAGAUUGCUGGGAUCGUGAGUCUGUUCUUGCAGUUUGGUGCCCAUGCCAAGCUGAUUCAGUGGGAGUGUUGCCUUGGACAACUCAUUGACCGGCUGCAUUUGCUGAGGAAGUUUGGAAGAACUAAAUUGAAUACUGUUCUGUUGCAGAAUCUGGUUCUGCAGGCAUAACUGCCUUGAGAGAUCAGCUGCACCAAGAUUUUGCAUGUUGGGGUUGCUUAGUGAUCGUAGGUACUCAGACUGCAUUGCCGUGUUUGCAAACGAGGAGUUCUGCUGCAUGUUCAUGUUCAUCCACUGAACCAAGCUCAGACCAGGCAUUAUGGUGUUCUGUGUCUGCGGAUCCUUUAUGCAUAUCUCCUCACCGAGCCAUGGCAUCGCCCUCUUUAAGAGAUUCUCCAUUUCUGAGGACUCAUCAUCUGCAGUACACAGUGGGGAUCAUUCAUUAUGCAUGCUAUAACUUUAAUAAAAACAUUUUUAUAUAUCAGAACUCAGAACUACAAUUUUUAUAUAUCAGGACUCACAACUAUUCUUCAAUCUUAAACUCAUAAAAUAUAUACAGAAUUCCAUGAACAGCUCAGCUAUAACCAAAGGAAGAUUACCCAGCAUCCAGUAUUGGUUCCGUUUACUUGGCUAGUCUAGCUAUAUUGCAACCUCAUAAGUAUGUUUUACUUAUAAAUGUCUACUGUACGAAAGAAUAUGGUACAUCUCUCCUAGUUUCAUAUGUUAUUUGUUCUUAAGAUGAGCUAAAAGCUUCAAGCUUCUUCAUCACUAAAUCUUGAAGACAGGCACAGUACCUUCAUUAGAAAAGGGGUGCACCGAUAAUAAUGGUAUCACCAAUUUAUGACAUAUGAUCAUGUCAGAAACAUAAACAUAAAAUAUGCUACACAUGACAAUUGACAUGAUCCAUAAUCCCAGGGAUGUAGUACCAGAAGCUUGAUGAAUAGUGUCCCUGAUCUCACAAACUAUCUAAGACACAAAAAGAAGCUCUGCCAAGUAACUAGUGCUAAUGUAAGCACCAAAGCAUACCUAAUUGUCUGGGACGUUUUGAACCAAAAAAUGGUGGAGGGCAUAUGAAAAAUGGAGCAGCUACCGGUUCAAUUUCCCAGAUUGAAACCCUGUUCCGCCUUUCGCCUGCUGCAGACUCAUCCCAGCCAACCUAUUGAAAAAACACAAUCUCCUUAGGUCACAAAAGAAUCUCUGUACCAGCAACAGAAAAGGGGAAAAGGCUAAUGCAUAGGAUGCGACAAAAUUAACAAGGAAACCAACCUGUAAGUUGCGCCAUUGUGAGUUUUUCCAUCUUACUGGAUCUAGAUCACUUAUGCCAGUUAUUGUACCCAUGUACCUGCAAAAUGUCAACAUAAGGGAAUAUGAACCCAUCAUUUUGUCAAAACAGCUAAAUUUGGUCUCUAGUCGAACCACUUAACCAUAAAGAGAAAUUGGAAAAAAAAUGAAUAGUCGAGAAACUUGAAGCAGGGAAAGAAGAAAAUUGAGCGACCGUAUACCUUCUUGUGCCUAAUUCCUCAGUUUCAAACAUCAUGCGAAAGCGCAUUCCUAAAGAUAUUUGGUUACCAUAGAGUGCCUUCUGAUACUUAGCAAACGGUACAACAAACUCUGUAGGACUGGCCCUGAAAAAUACAAGCUUUGAAGUUAAGAUUUUGACAGAGACUGGGAAUAAGCUCAUGUAUAGUAACUAUUAGAUAUUAAGUCGAAAUUCAGGGCUGACCUAGGAUUAUAAAAUAUGGUAAAUGGGCUAUUGUUCGCUGCAGCAUGGGCUGCUGCAGCCAGAAUUCCUAUAUGCAUGCUGUCACUUGAAAGGACAGAUGAUGAUAUGUUAGUUGGCUGUCUGUUAGCACGCCUGAUUCCUAGUAGCAGUUGCUGUUUUUCAUCCCUAAAAAAUAUAACAACAAACACAGAAAGAGGAACAAUUAGUGUUGAAUAAACCAUGAACACCAGAAAAACGAGCUAUGAUCUCUGAUGAUCUUUUCUUAGAGCAAAAUUCAAACAUAUAUAUUCGCAAGCUGUGCUGUACCUAACAAAAAUGACAGAAUCACCAGCAAAUAAUCUCUUGCCACUAACAAAAAGACUCCAUCCAGUGGUAAGCAGAUGUCUUUUUGGCUGACCUAUUCAUUCCAAAAGAUGGGGAUGGUUAAACAUCAUAAGUUUCUAUGUGCACGAAAAAGAUAUGGUCAUGUAAAAACAUUCAUAUGAAAAUUUAUUUUUCAAAUUUGUGCACAAGAGCUACAAUGCAUAAGAUGACAACUGUUAAGUGCAUUUGCAAGUGAAUGUGAGCAUAUUUAACCAUAAGUAUUUAACCAAGACAAAAAAAUACACGUCAAGCUCCAUUAAGGUAUUCAUAACAUAUUUUCAGGCCAAAAGAUUUCCUUGAUGCUGCAUUUUUUACCUCGGUAUAUGUGACGGAAUGUCCAUGUGGCAUCGUGUAGAUCUCUGGCUUGUAUCUCUUGGGCAGGUGGUUGCAUGGAGAAAUCCUAAAGAAGGAUGUGAGUACAUUAAAUGCAACGAUGAAGAAAAUGCUCAAAAUCAUGUGGAAAUCAAAUCUUUGCGUACAAGGGGUGGAAAUAUCUUCUCAGCUGCUCGACGAGGCACGGAGAAGCCUCCAUGAGUGCUUGUGUCACUUGCAGUCAGUGUCUUACAGAAGAACUCUGUUUGAGGCCUUGGUUGUUUCAGAGCUAAUUCUGAUAGUUGCAAUGCCUCCUUUCCAUACUGAUCAUCAUUCGCAAUCAAUUUGACAUAGAAAGAGCUUGGUCAAUAUACCUGAACAAAUAGGGAAAUGAAGGGGAAAAAUUGUAUGGCAAACCAGGCAUGGCACUGGAUGCUUACUGAAGUAACUGGCUGGAGAGUCAUUUGCGCAUACACUUCAUCUGUUUCUGGAUCCGCCUAUGAAACCCCCAAAAUAAUUCCUUUUAGCAUAAAUGAUCGAGCAGAAGACAAUAAAAUGGGGCACAGCUGCAUAUUACAUGUAAAGUGACGUUAUGCAGAAGGCAAAUCAACUUUGAUGGAAGGUUUGGGUAGCUUGGAACAUGUCCAUCAACAUCCUUUUGCAUAGAAGCAGCAACCUGCAAUAAGAAACAAGUAUAAAUCUGAGACUCCAAACAAAUCAAGCACGGUCUGCGGACGAAAAAAGAUGGAAAGAUCUUUUGAUGAUGAUUGCAGACAUAAUUUCCAUUGCAUUCCGAGCAACCAAGAAUUGAAAAAAGUACAUAAGAAAUAAAAAAAACGCUGAGUAAGACGAUUUAAUCAGGUUGAAAAUCUCUGAACAUCAGUAUCAUGUAAAACAGGUACCACCUACAAGCCAAUGAGAAAGCUGUGAUGGGAAGUGGUUGGGAUUUGACAGCACAAGACACAAGUAGAUACAUUGCAUCAAAUAGCUAUUAAAACCACCAUGUGCGAAUGAACCCAUCCACCAAUCAUAACUGAAAAGGUUCUAUUUUCCUUCAUUGAGCAGAAGGCAAAGAGAAUCAAAAUUGGGCACCUCCCAGUACUUGCAUUCAGAAGGAGAAUCAUUUCCAAAUCCAAACAUGUGAUGAUCCCAUCCUCUAAACUUGCUCAAAACAAGCUUCUUUGGUGCCAAAUCCACGAAAGUUGCAACAGAGGUUACUGAACACAUCACCUAUAAAAGCUAAAAUUCCAUCGUACUUGGUUGCUUCAUCCACCAAACGAACAAGCAAGGUAGUGGUGCAGCACACCGGAACCCAUAAAAAGAGUGGGGCAGUAGACCCAUUACUCCCAACUACUUUGGCCAUAAGCCAAAAAAAAAUGGCAGCAAACAAAGAAAAAUAUACUAGCAACCAACUAAACAAGACCUCCUAUUACAGAUACAGCUUAUUCACACAGCCUAUCCUCUCUUUUUUCUUUUUUGCGAGGUAGCAUAUCCAUAUUUCAACGAAUUCCAAUUUCAAAUGUAUCGAAGGCAAGACCAAUCUUACAAAACAAAAGGAAAAUAAUCAUAUGAUGGAACAAGGCUCUAAAGUACAGAACAAAUCUGACUUAAAAAAGCCAUCAAUGAAACAUUCCGAGAAAUGAAUAUAUGAUAUAAAAAAUUAUAUUCUAAGCAGCAAAAGAUCCCAUUAACUUAACUGGUACCACCACUCAGCAAAACGGAGAACAGCAAAUCAAGUCACAUCCCUGACACUUUUAGCGAUUAAAAUUCGACAGAAACCAAUCCUCCCCUGUCAAGACCUCAAAGGGCCCGCAAGGAGUAAAGUAUCUUUAUACAUAAAACCAAAGCAAAAUUUGACAACUAGAAAGCAUUUAAAAAGUCACUGCACAUGAACAAAUCCGACCACAUGGAAAAACUCAUCAAAAAUAUCGCAAAAAAAGUGGGCAACCAAGGAGCCAUGAAUCACAGCACUAGCAAGCACGGGUAAGCUCAGAGAGAGGGGUCCACCUGCUCGCUGUGGCCUUGGGG
RNAcentral lists this long non-coding RNA (60213 nucleotides) under Setaria viridis. RNAcentral's name for it is "long non-coding RNA (SVIR_LNC005032)". The record is from RNAcentral. Lineage: Eukaryota; Viridiplantae; Streptophyta; Magnoliopsida; Poales; Poaceae.